AUAAAUUGCGGAUAAAUAAAUUACUGGUAUGGACGAUAAACCCGCACCAUACUUUAAAUAAAUUAAAUAGCUUGCUGUAUGGACGUUAAUCCCGCACCAUACUUUAAAUAAAUUAAAUAGCUUGCUGUAUGGACGUUAAUCCCGCACCAUACUUUAAAUAAAUGUAAAUGUGCGGUAAAGUAAACGUGCUUGUGUGGGCACUAAUUCUGCUCCAUACAUUUAAAUACAAGUAAAGGCGUGGACGAUAAACCCGCACCACCCUUUUAAAUAAAUACUGUUGUAUGGGUAAUAAACCUACACCAUACAGUAAAUAAAAUAAAUGUGCGGUAAAGUAAAUUUGCAGUAAAUUAAACGUGCUUGUAUGGGCACUAAUUCUGCUCCAUACAUUUAAAUAAAAUUAAAGGCGUGAGCGAUAAACCCGCACCACCCUUUGAAAUAAAUAUUGUUGUAUGGGUAAUAAACCUACACCAUACAGUAAAUAAAUGUGCGGUAAAGUAAAUUCAUAAAGUAAAUUGUUAGGAUUAGUAACGGUUUCCCACUGAUAAUAUGUUUAGUAUUACCGAGGGUCCAUUUUUGUUAAUGGUUAGUAAAAUAAAAGCAGAUAAAUAUAAUAUGAAAUAAUAGAGAAGAUAAGGGAGCAGAAAACUUAUCGCUUAUGCCCUUGGUGAGUGAUCCCCCUUUUUCUUUUUCUUUUUUCUUUUUUUUAUUUUUUAUUUUUUAUAUUUAUUUAUUUUUAUUUAUUUUUUUUAUUAUAUUUAUUAUUAUUAUUUGCAGAAAACUGUCGGUGGGUCUUUCCUUUCAUCAUUGCUGCUACAAGGAAUGCUGCUUUUUAGGAAAGUGCCCACCCUAUAUCCUACUCUGAAAAGCAUGUCACUUCCAAAAGUACUAUAAAGAAAACAGAGCACACAAUUUGGGACCCAAGACCCGAUUAUGCGCCCAACUUUUCUUAGUGCGUUUUGCUCAUGCUGUCCAUUUCAUCAAAGGGGAUCUUGAUCUCUUCCAAUGAACAACAAACCAAGCUCAGCCACACCACCAUCGUCAAAACCCACAUGGGUCCUGCCCUACAAGACCCAAAACCUCACUGACCUCUACACUUUGGAUAAGAUUUUGAGUGCUCGAGUCCACGACAUGAUCAACACCUCCAGCAUGGGCUACCUCCACGAUCCGAGAAGCCCACAACCACACCGACCUCAUCGUGGUUUCGAUCUACGUGAACCCAGGUCAGUUCUCUCCCUCCGAAGACCUCUCCAUCUACUCAUCUGAUUUCCAUGGCGAUGUCUGCAUCACAGAGAACGGAGAGCUCCUGAAGCUGACCGAUGAGCUGCCUCAGCAUGGCCAGACCUUCCAUGCCCCCCUGAGGCCCUAGCAGCGGCAAUACCGAAACGUCCUGGAGGGAGGUCAAGAGCCUGAGAAUCGUCCGAAGCUGCUCGAGCGCUCGGUGGUCGCCGAGGUCAGAGACGUAGGCUCGGAGGUAGUUGACGGGAGCGCCGGUCAGGAGGCUCUCGAGCUCAAGAAACGCCUCGAGCUCAAGAAACGCCUCGAGCCGUGAGUUCACGUAGUGGAAGCCCGCCGGGUUCAGCUUGAGCACUAGGCUUCCGUCGAUCAAAGAACCGGCUUGUUGCUCCACGAAGUGUACCAGCUUCUCCAGGUACCGAUCUCAGCUUUUCAGGUUUGUGUAUAGGUAACCUUGUUGUUAACAGCGCCUGAGAAAGGCCAGUCAAAAAACAACUCGGUAAUGCUUAGCCAAGUAGGGGACGAUUUUGUCCCACACAGACUGGUCUCCUCCAUACCCAUGAGCUAGAACUAUGGUUUCUUCACUUCCUGAUGAGCCCAUAAUUUUUGUGUUUAUGGCUGAUGAAAGGCUCUUUUCUAGCACCAUUUUUUUUAUUUUUUAUGCAGUGGGCACACAAAGUCAAUUUUGUGCUUGGCUGUGGUUUCUGACUUAGUCUGCAGUGGCUCUGCAGACAAAAGCAUAAGAAUUUCGGAGAGGGCAUGGGUGGCUACAAACUUUUCCAUUUCCAUCAGCUCUGUGAAGGAGUUACAGAGAGAGAGAGAGCGUUGAGGCUCUGGAUUUGGAGAUAGAGAAAUCGUGCUGAUAACGUGUUGUGAAAUCAAAAGAAUUGAGGAGAGAAUUGUUGUUCUCUCUUUUAUUAUCAUUCUCAUAUCUGUUUUCAAUUACAACAAGGAGGAAGCUUCGAGGAAGCUUCAGGUGGGCUCCACCUAAUAUAUUUACAACACAAAUCAGUUGAGUAAGGCCUAAAACUAAUCCUAAAUACUAAAGUUUUUGUUCAGCUAAAGCUAAAUUUUCUAAUUAGAAAUAUAUGCUUCCAAAACAUAAAAAAAAUUGUUGUGUAGUUUUUUAUUUUAUUUAAAAAAAAAUUGUUAUAAAUUGUUAUAAAUUGUUAUAGUUAUAAUGACUUAACGGAAACUUUUAACAAAGUUAAAUGUAGGCGAUAAAUUGUAAUAGUUUAAAAAGUUUAAAUGGUUAAAAAUAAAAAUUAAAAGUUCAGGUGGUGAUUAUGUAAGAGCCAAAUUUUUCAUAUGGUAUUGAUGCAAAUGGAAUGAAAAAAUUAUUGAAAAGUUGGCGGAGUCAUGACUAAAAGAAGUUACAAUUAUCAAAUGCUUAAACAAAAGAAAUCAUAUUUAAGACGAAGAAGAAGAAAUUAGACCAUUUAUUGGUAAACUGAGACCAAAUAUGGACCAAAUUUAUAAGAUUUGUCCAUAAUAUUCUAGUACAUUACCACCAAAUGAGCCCAUUUUACUCUCAAGUUGAGAGGUUUUACAACGUAAUUGUCCAUAAGUUAACAAUCCAUUGGGUGGUAAGGCAAGCCUAGCUACUCAGUGAAUCCAUGUUACCACCAAAUGGAAGCGGCUGGACCAUUUAGAGUUAAACAUGGACCAAAAGGUGGUAAUGUAUGUUAUGCCAAAAUGCAACUAGAUGGAACAAGUUAGGGUGCCUUUCGGGUUGCUGUGCUUAAAAAAUAAGCAGCUACCACAGUAUCCUGAUAGUAGCCCUCUCCCAUAUAUUUUAGUUCAUGUUCUUGCGAGUUUAUCAUGGCCGUCAAAUGUUCAAAAUAUUUUGUUGGCAAGAGACCGCUAAACUGAUUGUUGGAGAGGUCUAUGAUAUGCAAUUUUUGGAAUGCAUAUUUCACCAUAGAAUUUGUUAGACCUCAAGAUAAGAACCUGCAACUUUGGAAGAGAUUCCAGCCAAUUUGGGAAUGUGUCUUGAAUUUUGUUGUUUCCAAGGUCUAGAACUUUCAACUCUCUACAUGUGAGCAAAGUUGGCAGCAAUGACCAGUCAUCGUUUCAUAAGUAACUCCACUCACUAUUCAACAAUCCUUACCUUUCUGCCAAGAAAUUGUCCUAUUAGAAUAGGAGUAAAAGGUAUCAAUAGAAAAGGAGUUUUUGAAUGGUCACCACCGCUUCAUAUUGGGCCACAUUGCAUCUAUACACUCACCCACUCAUUAGUAGGGAUGGCAAGGGGUCGGGUAUGACAAUACCAUCCCCGUCCCCGCUCUCCAUUCCCGCCCUCGUCCCCAAACCUAUCCUCAUUUAAUAGGUUUUGGAGAAUCCCCAUCCCCAUCCUUCUCAGGGGACUAUCCCACAUACCUGCCCCGAAUCCCCUUUUUUUUUUUGCAUUAAAAUUUUUUUUAUCAUAUAUUUUACCAUUAAGUUUCAUAUUAAUUUAUCAUUCAACACAUCCAAAUUAACUAUAAAGUUCAACUUAACUAUUCAAAAUCACUUCAAUAUGAAAUUCCAAAGAAUAUUAGGAAGAAUUAGGAGAGGGAGGUUAACAUUGGGUCCCAGUGCAAUCCCCUAGUUGUCACGAGCGCGUAGGUGUGUUCGGAUUGAAAUUUGGUAACCAUUUAAGUCUCGAACGGAUUUUGCCUAUUGUGCAAUUUUCGGGUUUGAUAUGUUCGGACUGUUGGAUCGAACUCAAACUCGCGUAUGUUGUACCUUGUAUUUCUAGGAUCGUCUAGGAUUCGAGGAAGAAGAAGACUUUUCUCCACCAUUCAGGUUCUAGGCCCUUCUCCUAUAGGAUGGAUGCACGGAGGCAGGUAAUAAUAAAAUAAUUUUUAUUUAAUUUUUAACAUGUCAUUAUUCUUAAUUUAUUUUUUUCGUACUAAUAUUUUUCUUCUCUUGUUCAAUUUAGGGGGGUCCAAAUUCCCAGAGAUCGACGUCUUUGGCGACGUUUAUGUUUGACUUGGGAAUGAGUUGACCGAGUCCCUUCAUGUAAGUAUUAUUUAAUUUUAAUUAUUAUGUUACGCAUUCAAGUUUAAAGGUUAUUAUCUGAAUGUUUUAAUAUUUUAUGUUAGGUUAAACAGACGACGAUGGUGGAGAGGAGCCAGUUGGUUAUUCAGGAGUCCGCCUCCCAACUUCCUCCCGAUACUCCGAUAGUCUGUGAAUUCUCCACAGGAUGCUGGGUUUCAGAUCUUGACGGAGACGUUGGAUCAGACUCUCGGAAGGAGGCCGGGGACAUAUUGUCGAGGGAUGGAGAAUGCCAGGCAGAGGGAACCCAGACCCCGUUCAUCAGCGCAGUCAAACAGUCAGGUGACUGCUUUGACAGCACAGGUGGCCACUCUUCAGUGUCAGAUGUCGGUGAUUCUGCAGUCCCUCGCAUGGUCCGGCAUUCCAGUCCAGCAUUUUGAUGUGCCGACCUUCGAGCCCGUCUACCCCGGGCAUCCCCACCAGACGACAGCCCCUGUAGACCCCCAGACCUCUGAGCUGCAUGUGCCAGACGACAAUGUAGAUUUUGAAACUUUAUUUGAUUAGUUUUUUAUUUUCAUAAUUAUUUUUUAAAUAUUUAUCUUGUAGUAUACAUUUAUUUUAUUUUAAUAAUAAAUGUAUUCUUUACAAUUCAUUUUUUUUAUUGCAAUUUCAUUUUAUUACCCAAAAAAAACCAAAUUUAUUUUUUUACAAAAUUAAAAAAAACAUAAUAUUAAAUUUUAAAAAAUAUAUAUAUUAAUUUUGCGCAACGAAACCUUUCUCGUCAAGCAAAUUCACAUUUUACAAAAUAAAAAAAGGUAAAUUUUUUUAAAAAAUACAUAUAAUUUAUUCUUGCGCGACGAAAAAGGACAUGCGCGACAACGGCAAUUUGGUCGCUCAAACGUUGGAGACACGAAUUGCGCGACGAAGAACUCUUCGUGCUGCAAAUGUCUACAACAUGAAUCGCGCGACGAAUAUUAUCCAUCGCUAAAUUUUUAAAAAAAAUACAUAUAAUUUAUUCUUGCGCGACGAAAAAGGACAUGCGCGACAACGGCAAUUUGGUCGCUCAAACGUUGGAGACACGAAUUGCGCGACGAAGAACUCUUCGUGCUGCAAAUGUCUACGACACGAAUCGCGCGACGAAUAUUGUCCAUCGCGCAGUGUUGUGGCGACGAACCUUCUUUAGUCGCGCAAAGGUUUGUGUGACGAACAGUUGUGUCAUCCCUGAACCUUUCGUGCAAUGAAGGAUAACCAUCGCACAGUUUUGCGCGACGAAUGAAAAAAAUGGGUCGCGAGAAGUCUUUCUUCACUCACUUUGUGUGACGGAUUAUGCGCGAUGAAUUUUCUGUCGCACUUGAAUUUGUGCGACUACGAGUAACUUUGCGCAACGAAAUUCUCUUCGUCGCGCAAAUCGUAAAAUAUAGUAGUGGUUGUUUCGUACUAGUGAAUUUUUCAGGGAUCACCAAAGAGGACGUGGGCACAAAGUCAAACCUUUAUAAGUUAUUGUGUUCUAUGUGUGCGUGUUUAAUUUUUGGUUCGUGCGCGUCCUUUAUUUUUGCAUGACUUGUGUGUGGUAGUUGCAUAAUACAUCAACUACAAGCACUCUUAUAACUUUAAGAGCCACUGUGUUGACAAUGACAAGAGACAAGGAGGCGGGAGAAAUCUCCCAGAAGACGACAACACAAAUGGUGAGUGUGAAGGUCGAGUUGAAGCCAUUCACCGACAAGGAGAACUUCAUGCUUUGGCAAAGAAGGAUGACACGUCCUUAAGUAGCAAGGUCUCAGCAUAGUCUUAGCAUGCAAGAAAAAGAAGCUGAAAACCAUGAAGGAUGUUGAGUGGGAAGACCUAGAGGAGCUUGCUAGAGUAUCCAUCGAACAACAUCUUAGUGACAAAGUGUUGUGUAAUGCGAUGGAAGACGCCGUGAAGCAUGCAUGGGAGAAACUUGAGGAGAUGUUUGCGUCAAUAUAUUUGUCCAAGAAGCUCUUCUUGAAUGAGGAGUUUCACUCUCUAAAGAUUGAAGAGGGCACAAACAUGAUAAAGCACAUCAGCGCCUUUAAUUGGUGUAUUGCGGACUUGUAGAGGUUGGAUGAUGUUUAUAAGUCGGAAGACAAGGCCGUGAUGUUGUUGACAUCCCUGCCUCUGCCUUUUAAGCAAGGUCUAAGCAUAUUGAUGUGCGGUGCCACCGGAUAAGGGAUUGCAUGAAUGAUGGGGAUAUUGCAAUGAAGAAGGUUCAUACAUAUGAGAACGCUUCAGAUUGCUUGACCAAGCCAAACAGAGUUGAGAAGUUUAGACAUUGUCAGAGCUUUCUCAAUCUUGUUGCAUGCUACAUGUUAAGGUGGAGCUCUUGGGAAUUACUAGAAUGAAUUCCAAGAUGUUUGAAGAGGUUCUAGGGGUUAAUGAUUUUCACAAGGUGUUUAAGGCUCGCCAAUGUGAAGAUUGUUGAAGUUUGGCUCGCUUAAAACGGUUCAGAUUAGGGAGGAGAAGCAAGAGGCGACUAGUAGUUGGUUCCUGAACCAACCGGUCGCAUAAAUCCUGGGAGCAACAGUCGCAAGUACUGGAUCGAAUUCAAGUUUCUGCAAAAGUGACCGGUCGACGCGUGUUUUCCUGCUUAACGUGUUUUGGUAUUUUACACGGCUUUUGGAGUUUUUUUCUAGCCUAUAUGGGCUAGGUUUAGUCUUCUAUUCGUAUUAGGUUUGUACUUAAGUCAUAUGAAUUAUAAAUAGGCACUUUAGUGCUGACGUGAGAAAACUAAGACAUCAAAUUAGGUUUGAGUCAAGGGUGAGAGAAAAGAGAACUAGAGUUUGAGAGAGAGCAAAGGGGUUCUUCAUUGUAACCAAAGGGGUUCUUUCUUACUAAUCAAUUUCUCGGGAAUCACUAAAGAUGACGUAGGCGCAAUGCCGAAUCACAAUAAAUUCUUGUGUUUUUUGUGCGCGUGUUUACCUUUCGGUUCAUGUGUGUGAUUUAUCUUUGCGUGGUUUGUGUGUGGUAGUUGCGUAGUGCAUCAACAAGGAGGCCUUGGAGUGUACUUUUUCACACAACAUUAUUUUCUAUUUGCUAAUUGAAUGAAAUGUCUUCCUUUAUCUAUAUUUAUAUAAAGACAGAAGGCUUAAGUGAAAUUUUCAAUAACCCCGAAAUUCCCUUGGUGAAAUAAAAUAUUAAAAUACACAGAUUUUAUUUAAAAGAGAGUAAAAGAGCAAAACAACAGUGAAUUGAAAUAAUUUUUUUGUAAAAAAAAAGAAAAAAAGAACAGCAAUUAAGGAUAAGACGUGUUGUUUUAACCCAAAAAAAAUAGAAGUUGUCUUAAAAACCUCACCCCAUCGAUGAGGCACCUAGUUGUCUUGGUUCCAUUUUGAUAGAUGACUCUUUAGGAGUUGGUCAUUCUCGUUUGGUUUGAGUUGUGUAGCUGUUGGUAUGGGUUUUGGGGUUCUUUCCCCCCUGUUUCAUCAAAAAAAAAAAAAAAAAAAAAAAACCUCAUCCCAUCGUGCAGUUCCUUACAGUUUUUUCGGGUCCAUUAACCUCUUCUCUUCUUCUCCACUUUUCGGUUGUUUAAUCUUCUUAUGCAGAGCAUCAAUGCUUUAAAUGGUUCAAAUCCCUCUCCCUCUCUCAACUGCUCUAAUUUUUGGUUCCUAAUACUACAAUUUCUUUCAUUAUUUCUGAUACAAUUUCUUUGAUUAUUUAUGCUCUUUCAAUUUAAUUUCAUUUGUAUUUCUCUGAGAAGAUUUCAGUGUUGGACUUUUUAAUCUAAUCUUGCCAUGCUGUUGUACUAGGUGUUCCGUUUUCUGCUGAUAAUUGCAUAACAAAGCCAUGGCAUUGCUUCUCUGGGAUGUUGUGUUUGUGAGAAUACAAUUUUGGGUCAGUAAUUUCCUCUUUCAAUUUCUAUCUUUUUGGAACAAAAAGAAGAAGAAAAGAAACAAAACACCAUUUGAUAAUUCCCAUUACUUAUUAAUAUUAUUUAUUGUUGUCACAAAUUUGUUCCUUAAUAUCUCUCCAGCAGUCGUUUCUUGGUUCAAGCUCUAGCUGUUUUUUGUUUCGUUUUGAGUAUUUAUUCUCUAUGCUUUAUGUUUGUACCAAUUAUCUUGCAAAAAACAGAGCACAGAAAUACAAUUGCUAUGACAAAUACAAUAGAAAAAGAGAAAAAGAAAAAAAGAAAAAACUGUUAUAAAACUAGAAUAAUCAGAGGAUGAGAAGUACCACUGUAAUAUUGGGAGUGGAAUUAUAUUUCUCUUUGUGGUGUUUACACUGACAGAAUUUCUCCUCAGAUAGACUCCACUCUUUCUCUUCUCUCUGACUCUCACUCUUUCUCUUCUUCUGACUCUCACUCUUUCUCUUCUUCUCUUCCGUAUGUUUACAAGCAAAUAUAAUGCCUAUUUAUAGGCAAAGCAAAUGACUUUUAAGGGAGACAUAAUGAUUUCUCCCCAACAUCAUUAUCCCAUCUUUUGACUAAUACCUCUAGCUAUAUCUCCAUCUUUUGACUAAUGCCCUAUAGCUAUCUAUGUGGGCUUCACUUCUUUAUAACACUCCCCCUUGAAGACCACAUAUCCCUAGAUUGGUUGCCUCAUUAAAACCUUACUUGGAAAAACCCAGUGGGAAACACUACUACAAAAAAGCAAAAAGGCGACGGUAAAUCACCGUCGUGUAUUCGGUUUUUCAAUGGUCGUGGAAUCCACCGUCAUCUUUUCCCUCAUAAACCACGACGCUAAAUCACCGUCGUUGUUAAAAUAUACAACGUCAUCAACAAAUACAAAACGACGUCUUUGUACUGCAAAAAGAUCUAAAAAAGCAGUCAAGGAUGAGAAUAGACGACCAACUCUCUAAACAAACCGUCGUUAAAAAGGAAAAAUAUGACACAUAUUAACAGAACAAGGCCGCAAGAUAGACAUACAACGACGAAAAAUAAAAUAAGACGCCGUUAAAUAUCAUUUUCACGACAAUAAAAAAUAUGACGUCUUUAAAUACAUUAGAAGACGACGUUAUUGACACCUACUACGUCACCUAUAUAAAAACAGCCGUCGUAAAAUAAAUUUUUCACUUCGAUUUUUCUAUAAAAGAUGACGUGGAAAUAGUUGUCAGUGUCAUUACUUACGACGUAUGUAUUUAUAGAGUAGACGUUGAACGACGAAACAACGUCGGUUACAAAUAUAUGAGAGUCGUAUUACAAAAUUUAUACGUCCUAUUUUCAGAAACAAACAACGACGAUAAAUAUUAGACGUUGUUAAAUAAAACAACGUCGGAAACAAAUAAAAACAGACGUGUUUAGUCUGCUAAAGUUCUAAAAAAUAGUCGAGGAUGAGAAUAGACGACAAACUCAAACAAAUCACCGUCGUUAAAAAGGAAAAAUAUGACACAUAUUAAAAGAACAAGGCCGCAAGAUAGACAUACAACGACGACAACUAAAACACUACGCCGUUAAAUAUAAUUUUCACGACAAGAAAAAAUAUGACGUCUUUAAAUACAUGAGAAGACGACGUUAUUGAAAUCUACUACGUCUCUUAUUUACAAACAACCGUCGUGAAAUAAAUUUUCCACUUCGAUUUUUCUAAAAAAGAUGACGUGGAAAUAGUUGUCAGUGUCAUUAUUUACGACGUAUGUAUUUAUAUAGUUGACGUUGAAAUUCGAAACAACGUCGGUGGCAUGUAUAUAGUCGACGUUGUAUUUAUAUGUAUUCAUUACUCACGACGCACUUAUUAAUAUAGACGACGUUGAACUUCUAAACAACGUCGGUUCCAAAUAAAUGAGAGCCGUAUUACAGAACAUAUAGACGGCGUUGAUUAUGAUGAGAGCCGUAUUACAAAUAACGUCGUUUAAUUGAUAUUAGACGGCGGUUAUGAUGAAUUACCGUCGGAAUUCAUUUCGUUCCUCUUCGUUUAUAAAAGAACUUGCGACGUGGAAAAUGUAUGAUGACGUCGUAUUUUUUAACGUUCAGAUUAUAUAUCUCGUUUUUCAGACGUCGGUGUUAUAGGAUUGGAGUCGUGUUAUUUUGAAUUACAUGGCGGUUCUUAAUCCUUCCCCGACGUGAUAUCCUGAAUAAUUGCUUCACAAUAGCGUCGUGGUUCUUCAUUGUUACGUUGCUUUAAGACGUCGGUAAAUAUGCUGAAUAACUGGUUCACAAUAACGUCGUGUUUUAUUUGAACGUAGAAAGUGAAGAAAUCACAUUACAAUAUAUUACAAAAUUAAUGUCAUACACUGCCAAUUACAUAAGCAUCAUUCAAUCCAUAUAUCUUCACACCCAUCUCGAAUAUUUUGACCGCCUAACUCACCCACCAGUUCAUCAAAUGUGUCAACAUUUGGCAUCCCUCUAGUAAAUGGCUCACACUCAAUUAUCACAUCACCUAAGACUUCAUCACCAAUAACAUCAUUAUAUUCUCUAUUAGGCAUUGAUAACACUACCGACCAACCACGAUGCAUCGGGUCGUCAACAAAAAAUAUUUGUUUGACUUGAGAAGCCAAAACAAAUUGGUCAUUCCUAUGUCCAAUUUUACUCAAAUCUACAAGGGUAAAUCCAAGUUCGUCGACUACAAGACCAGAACUAUCUAUCCAAUCACACCUAAAGACUGGGAUUGUAAAAUUUUGGUAGUCAAGGUCCCAAAUUUCUUGAAUGACACCAUAGAAACCCAUAUUUGAGAGAAUUGGGUUUUUAUCCUUGGCACUAGCAACUUGCAUGGUAUGUGCAAGUAAAUAAACUCCACUAUUUUGAGUUGUCCGCACAUCAUCUUGUGCCUUGAUAUUGAAUUUAAUACCUUUAAUAAGAUAGCUCCUAUAUAAUGGCACUGACAUGUUUGGACCAGCUGCUAGCCACCUUAAAUUUUCUGAUACGCCAUGAUUGUCUUCCUCAAGUUCACUUUGAACCUGCAAAUUAAUCAUAUCUUAAUUCAAUCUAACAUAUAAAUAAGAAGAAAAUUAAAAGAGAAAUAUGUUAUUCAACAACAUAUACCUUGAAGCGUAGCCAUUGAAUGAAAGUGCUAUUGUGCUUAUCCUGCAGCCACUUUGUUCUCUUUCUAAAUUUUGGAUAAGCAGUCUUGAUGUGGAUCAUAUGUUGCCUACAUGACACGAAAAAUUCAAGCAUUACGGUCCCAAAUAUAGAAGAUAAACAUAAGAAAUAAUUUAAAAUGGAAACUUAAAGAAUAAAACUCAUACGUACUCGAUAUAAGGUAGGACUUCCUCCGUAUUCUCCAAGACAUAUAGAUGUGCUUGAUUCAACAGGUCCUGAUCAACUACGCUCACUGUGCAACCUGAUAAUGGCUUUGAAACUCCCAUCUUUUGGCUUGAAGGCACUCCAACUGUACUAACAUCAGAUAAAUGCUGAGUACAAAACUCUACCGCUUCUUCAGCUAUAUACCGCUCAGCAAUGCAACCUUCGGGACGAGUACGAUUCUGAACAUACCCCUUCAGCACUUUCAUAUAUCUUUCAAACGGAUACAUCCACCUAAAAUAUACUGGCCCACAUAGACGAACUUCUCUGACAAGAUGUACUACUAGAUGAACCAUGAUAUCAAAGAAUGAAGGGGGAAAGUACUUCUCAAGCAAACACAGAGUAACUACUACAUCUUCUUCCAACUUAUCUAGCUUGGAAACAUCAACAGUCUUUGCACAUAUAGCAUUGAAGAAGAAGCACAAACGAGUUAUUGCAUACCUUGCAGGCUUCUCCAAAACAGAACGAAUUGCCACAGGGAGCAAUUGUUGCAUUAAGGUAUGACAAUCAUGUGAUUUAAGGCCAAGAAGUCUUGAAUCUUGUAAAGAUACAAGAUUUUUAAUAUUUGAAGAAUAACCUUCAGGGACCUUCAUACCAUAGAAAGAAUUGCAAACCUCUCUCUUCUCUGCUCUUGACAAAUUCCAAGGCCCAGGAGGCAAACGAGUACGUCUUUCUCCAUACUGGGGUUGCAAAUCAAUUUUGACCCCCAUGUUCAAUAAAUCUAAUCGAGCAGCAAUCCCAUCUUUAUUUUUUCCAGGGAUCUCCAGCAAUGUACCAAUGAUACUAUCGCAAACAUUCUUCUCAAUGUGCAUAACAUCUAGGGCAUGCCUCACAGGAAGGUAUUUCCAAUACUCGAGAUCAAAGAAUAUUGAUUUCUUCUUCCAACAAACUCUGUCACCAUUUUCAACCAUAUGCAGCACUUCUUCUCCGGUUAAUGGCUCGGGAGGUAUGCCAUAUUCAGGUUUCCCAUUAAAAGCUGCACGUUGCCUUCUAUAUGGAUGAUUGAUUGGUAACUAUUUUCUAUGCCCAAUGUAACAAAUUUUGUGGCCAUUUUUCAACCUAUGACUAGGUGUAUCAUCGCCGCAUAUUGGACAAGCUUUAUAUCCUUUAACAACACAACCAGAUAAGUUUCAUAGGCGGGGAAAUCAUUAAUUGUCCACAUUAAUGCAGCUCUGAGUGUAAAGUAUUCUCCAUUAUGUGCAUCAUACACUCCUCUAAUCCCAUCCCACAAAGAUUUUAAAUCAUCAAUCAAAGGCUCCAAGUAGACGUCUAUAUCAUUUCCGGGUUGUUUAGGACCGGAAAUCAAUAAGGUUAACAUCAUGAACUUUCGUUUCAUGCACAGCCAUGGAGGGAGAUUAUAUGUAACUAAGAUAACCGGCCAACAACUAUAUCUGCUACUUAGAGAACUGUGGGGAUUGAAUCCAUCAGAUGAAAGAGCCAAUCUCAAGUUUCUCGGCUCAUUACCAAACUCAGGCCAUUUAUCAUCAAGAAGUUUCCAAGACGGGGAAUCCGCCGGAUGAGACAUCUGACCGUCAAUUGAUUUUCUAGCAGCAUGCCAAGUCAAACUCUUAGCUGUCUCAUGUGAUUGAAACAUCCUUUUAAACCUUGGAAUUGGAGGAAAAUACCACACCACCUUCGCUGGCACACCCUCUUUCAAGAUUGAAUCUUUGCCUUCCUUCCACCUUGAGAUACCACAAGUAGGACAAUUAGUUGAAUCCUCAUACUCCUUCCUAUACAAGAUGCAAUCAUUGGGGCAUGCGUGCAUUUUCUCAUAACUCAGCCCCAAUGCACACAAAGUCUUUUUAGCCUCAUACAUAGAGGUUGGUAUUGUAUUUCCUUCUGGAAGCAAAUCGCCUUGAAGUAUCAAUAAUUCUGUAAAACAGACAUCACUCAUCCCAUGUUUUGCCUUCAAAUUAUACAACUUCACUAAUGCCGAUAACUUCGUGUACUUUCUACAACCAGGGUACACUGGUUGAUCUCCAUCCCCAAUCACAUUGGCAAACUCAUACGGAUCGGAACCAAAAUCACCAAAAUCAUUAUCAUCCAUAUCAAUUUCUUCAGACACAAAACUGUACCUACUAUGGCCAUCAUCUUCUUCAACAUUUCUACUAGCAUUAGUAGUUGCUUCCCAAGGUUCUCCGUGAAAUGUCCAAUUCUUAUAGCUUUGGUCAAUUCCAUUAAAGUGUAAGUGAUCCCUUAUAAUUCCAACCCCAAACAACUUCAAAUUAACACAUUUAACACAUGGACAACGGAUAUGUGUUGUAGUUAGAAGAUUUUCUACAGCAAAGUUCAAAAAUGCUUCCACCCCAAACUCAUAUGCCUUCGAUCUUCUAUCCGAGUGCAUCCAUGACUUAUCCAUCUCCGACACUAUAACCUAUUAUCUAUAAUAAAGUGAUAAUACAGGCAAUGACCAUCACUAUAGCAGAUUAUACAAAGAUCUAAUAGCAAGUAAUACACAACAGAGACGACGGGUUUUAAACAAAAACAGACGUAUUUGGCAUAUAUAGACGACGGAUUUCCAACAGACGUCGUCUAAUAUAAGUAAUACAAACGACGGUUUAUGAAAAAACCGUCGUGUAUAAGUAAUACAACGACGGUAAUUAAAGAAACCGUCGUGUAAUCGUCGUCGUAUGCCUAAAAAGGCGUCGUGUCUCAGUUUAUUUUCAAGAACCCAAAACCCAUUAAGAACACAACAUAUAUAUGAAACCAAGCAAGAAACCAACAUAUACAUGAAACCAAGCAUGAAAACAAUAAAUCCAUUCCCAAUUCAACAUAACAUAGGGUGAUUAAAAGAUCCGACAAAAUUAAAUCCAUUCCCAAUUCAACAUAACAGAUAAUGUAAUCCAUGAACCCAUUAAACAGAAAAUCCAUGAACCCAUUAAACAGAAAAUCCAUGAACCCAUACCUAUAAGCACAUUAUUAACAGAUCGCAAAGCAUAUACCUAAAACCCUUUAACAAAACAACCUAAUAUCAUUCAAUGAAUUUACAAGGGGAAGAUAGGGUUUGUACUUACAGGUUGGACGAGCUCACAGAUUCGACGGAGCCUGGAGUGUGCAACUUUUAAUUAGAGCAGAAGUGAGAGAGCGAAAUGUUAUGUUGCGCGAAAUCUGAAAAUUUUAGGGUUCAGGGUUAGAAGUAUAAGAAUAAGAGCCAAAUAUAAAAAAAUUUAGGCCGCGCGAAAAUUUUUAGAGCGCACGCUCUUUAAAACGUCGAAAGAAAAACCAUGGCGAAAGUUCUACAAGAACCGACGUAAAUGUAAUAUUCCACGACGGAAACACUGAACGUAACGCCGUUUAUUUUGACGCUUCAUUUUUCGGAUUAAUUUUAAAUUUAUUUUGAAUAUUUUGAUAUAAAGACGACUGACAAACCACGUCGGGGUUAAGAAAUUGAAAACGUUGUAAAUUGUAAUAGACGACUUACAUAUUAAAAUGACGUCGUUUAAAGUAGAAACCAUGUCGGAUAUUUUACUGCACGACGUAACAUAUGUAUUCCACGACUCAACCACCGUCGUUAACAAUUAAUACCCUAAACCCUUAAAACUAAAUUAUAUAAUUUUAAAAAUUAAGUUUAUAAAAGGGUUUAUGGUUUUACAGCCUAAUAUAUACCCUAGCCUACCCAAAAAUUAUACUUUAAAAAUAAACCCCAAUAAAUAACAACCCUAAUCUCUAAACCCUAGACUCUAAACCCUAAACCAUAAAACUAGAAGUGAUUUUAUGACUCAUCAAAACAAUUUUGUUUUGGAUGGUCAUUUUAAAUUUUUGUUAUUCAAAAUGAAUUUUUUCAAGGUUUAGGGGGAAGAAAAUAUAUCAAUGACUUCAUAGGAGUUGACUUUGCAUUUUUCUGAUUUAUUUUAAAUUUAUUUUGAAUAUUUUGAUAUAAAAAUAAUAAAAUAUUCUUAUCACAACAACAAACCACGUCGGUGUUAAUAAAUUGUAGACGUUGUAAAUUGUAAUAGACGACUAAGUUGUAAAAAUGACGUCGUUUAAAUGAGAAACCAUGACGGAUAUUUAACUAUCCGACGUAAAAUAUAUAUUCCACGACUUAACGGCUGUCGUUACAAAGUACUACCCUGAACCCUUAAGAAAUUGAAGACGUUGUAAACCAUAAACGGCUCAAUUGUUCAAAGAACGUCGUCUAAAUAUCCUUUUACGUCGGAUUUGUUUAAAACGAAACAACAAAAAACGACGGCUUUUGACUUUAUUACGUCGUUGGAAAAGUAUUACACGUCGGUUACGCAAUUUGUAUGUUUGUUUUUUUUUUAAUUUAAGAAAAUCUCAACAAAUUUUUACAUUAUAUAUUAUAGACAAAAUUUGUACAUUAUACAUAAAUAUCAAGUGUUCAAUAAUUCCCCUAUUCCAGGUGACGGCAAACAAACUCUGCCCAUUCAUUCCGGACUUCAUCAAUUGCUUCUUGGGGGUAUGGCUCUUCCUGUUUUCCUCCCUUGGCAUACUGCAUAAACAAUGAUUAUUAGGGUUUAUAAAUAAAAGGAAAUUCAAUCACAGACGACCAUAACCGACGUAGUAUAUAUAUUCAACGACGGUAAUUUUACAUCACCGUCGUUGACAAUACAAAAAACGACGUAAAAUGUAUGAAGGUAAUUUCUUCUUACCUUCUUCUCAAACCCCGAGGAAGGAUCAAUGAUGAUGUCCCUCAUGAAGCGCAUCACAUAAUACCCGCAUUCGACAUUGCUGGGUUGCUUUGGUGUGCCUGACAGAGUUUUCCAAAUAACUGCCUUACGGCCUGGUCUGGCAAUGUGAGAAUUAUAAAUUUUUAUAGCACUGUUCACGAUAUUUUUGGCCUCUUCAUCGACCACACGAUUUCCUGGCAGAUGAUCCAGAAAAUAGACGGUUUCUCUCUUUGCCCUUACAAUCAGCAAGAUCCAAUGACGGCUGCACAAAAUUAAUAUAAAAACGACGGUUAUUUACAAAAACGACGUAUUAUAAUAUUUCACACGACGAAAUAAAGUAGCAAUCGACGACAUUAUAUAUUUAUAACGACGAUAAAUAACUACCGACGUGGUUAGUAGUUUCAAACGACUCAAUAAAAUAAAACACCGACGUGGUUAGUUUAUACGCUGUCAUUUAUUGAAAAUCAUAAAAACAAAAUCCUGUUAAGGAGACUAACCCUGGAUUGUAAGGCAUCAGGAAAAUCUGUUCACCGUCAGUCCUCUGAAGUCGAGCUGCUAGUAGGCGUGAUCUGUCAGCUAUUGUGCCAGAGCUGGCACUAACUGUAGCAGGGUCGAUAAAGCCAACCAUGGAGCACAUAUUUGCUCGUUUCAAAAUAUCGUGUAAGUACCUAAAUAUAUAAAAUAAUAUAAACAAGUCAGCACAAAAAAACACACGACGGUUAUGUAUAACAAACGACGUAUUAUAAGAUUUCACACGACGUACUGGAAUAGAAAACGACGUUAUAAUAUAUUUAUCACGACGGUACAUACUAACGACGUGGUUAGUUAGUUAAGACGACGCAAUAAAUAAACCAACGACGUAUUAUUUUAGAAUGACAAACCUCAUAUAUACAAAAAAACACACGACGGUUAUGUAUAACAAAACGACGUAUUAUAAAAUUUCACACGACGUACUGAAAUAGACAACGACGUCAUAAUAUAUUUACCAAGACGGUACAUACUAACGACGUCGUUAGUUAUUUAAGACGACGCAAUAAAUAAACCAACGACCUAUUAUUUUAGAAUGACAAACCUCAUAUAUACAAAAAAAAACACGACGGUUAUGUAUAACAAAACGACGUAUUAUAAAAUUUCACACGACGUACUGAAAUAGACAACGACGUUAUAAUAUAUUUACCAAGACGGUACAUACUAACGACGUCGUUAGUUAUUUAAGACGACGCCAUAAAUAAACCAACGACGUAUUAUUUUAGAAUGACAAACCUCAUAUAUACAGCAAUGACAGUGGCUCCUAUUUCUUCCAUGCCUGCAAAUUGUGUAAUAUCUUCAGGCAGGAGGAAGGUAUCGCGCUCUAGACCAAAGACCUCCUUAUCAAUUGUAAAGUGCAGGGUCUUGUCCUGAGGCACGAGUGUCGUUUCCACAAAACGACAAAGGGAUUUUAAAGAAGAUGGCGCCUCCAUAUUUGAAUAAUCAACACCUUUAAUAACCUGUUUAAAGAAAUAAAAAAAAUGACGUGGUAAUUCAAUAAAAACGACGGUUUAAGGAAUAAAACGUCGUCUGAAAUGAAUUUAAACGACGGUGAGAAAACCGUCGUGGUGAAUAAUUUAUUACGUCUUAGAAAAACAUUCUGCCAUCUAAGUUGUAAACAAACGACGGUUUAAAGAAAAAUAUCGACGUCUGGAAUUUUGAAAAACAAAUAAAAAAGGCAAAGUUAUGUGAACAUACCUGGUCGUCAUUUUCUUUCUCCUUUUCAUCUUGUUUUUCUUCUUUAUUUUCUUCAUAUAUGACGUCGGGAAUGACUAACUCCGUCGUCUAAAAACCACAAAGUUUUAAAAAUAACGACGUUUAAUGGCGUGUAAAACAAGUAAACUAAAUACGACGUGGUAUUGAAAUACAAACGACGGUUUUGUUUUAAAAUCGUCGUGGUAUGUAUUUCAAACGACGGUUUUAUUAAUAAUAACGACGUCUAAUGGUUUUUAAAAAAACAGAGAAUUCAAAGUUCAAAUAUGUUACCUUUUCUUCCUGAUGUUUCCCAUUUUUGGCAGUAUCAUCCUCAAAAUGCUGGGAUCUCACAUCACCUCCAGAGCAGCUUGCUUUGUCAGACAUUGGAUUUUUGGGACUUUGGCUAAUUCUGGGUUUAAGCAUGGCUGGAUCAAAAUUGGGAAUUAAUUGGGAAAGCUGACUCAGGAAAUGCUCCCUCUCAGCCUCUACCAAUUGUUUCGUUCUAGCCUCCAUCCUUAAAGCCUCUUCCCUUGCCUUAGCCUCCAUCUUUUUAGUCUCUUCUUGAAGGAGAACUCUUAAACUGUCCUUCAAACGGUCGUCAAAGCUCACUCUCUGUGGUUUGGGUAAAUUGAAAUAUUGCCUUGGUGAGAUCCCAGCACCUACUCCUCUGAGUCUGCCUGGAUGCUCGGGGCCCAAAGCCAUGGUCAGCACAUCAUUGCUGCCAGAAACAUUGACUUUGCCUUCCGAGACUUGUUUUUGCAAAUCAUCCUAAAACAAAGAUAUAUAAAAAAGUAAGAACAAAAACACACGACGGUUAUUUAUAUACAAACGACGUAUUAUAUAAUUUCACACGACGCAAUAACAUAUAAAUCGACGUUAUUAUAAUUUAUCACGACGGUAGUUAUACCGACGUGGUUAGUUUUUUAAAACGACGAAAUUAAUAAACCACCGACGUCUGAUGCUUUAUUUACAGACAACAGAGGGAUGAUUCAAUAUUCACACCUUUAACGACGUUGUUUAAAACAUUUCGACGUAGUAAUUUAAUACAGACGACGCGAAAAUGAACCACCGACAUCUUAUGCUAUAAUUACAGAAAACAGAGUUGUGAUUCCUGAUUAGACCUUUAACGACGUUUUUUAAAAUAUGUCGACGUGGUAAUAUCAUUCACACGAUGCAAAAUAUAACAUAAGACGUAAUAAGAAUUAUUCACAGUUUAAUAAAAAUUUAAAACAGAGUGAGUAGGCUUACAAUUAAUUUUGCUUUCUCUGCCACCUUUGGAUCAGGGAUGUUACCAUGUUUGUCCUGUCUAGCUCUCUUCCAUAAGGUAGAUCGAUCAAUUUCUACCCCAGGCAUGGUUUCCUCUAAUUGAUCCUCCAAACCGGCAUAUCCUUUUCGAGACAAUCGAUGAUUGUACUCAAGUUUCUCCCUAAUCUGUGCAUGUUGAGAAUGCACAGACUCAAAAUCUUUGGAUAGCCUUGAAGCUACAAAGGCAUCCCAUUGUGCUUUCUCAAUGAAUUUAUAUGUUUCAGGGGGUUGGCUUAAUCUCUCCCUGUCAUUGGUGUAUGGAAGGAUAUAAUGCCUCGUUAGUGUAGACUUGAAAUCCUUUCAUUUCUUGGCAGCAGAAGCUAAGACAGAGUUCUUGCCCCCUUGACCUACCACAAAGGCAAUGUCAACUGCUUCCCAAAUCUGCUCCUUUAUAUCCUUGGGGAUUUGAGCCCAUUUCAAGUCCACAAGUGGAACUCUGGAGCGUGCCAACACACCAAUAUAGGACUGCAUCUCAAUAUGUGCUUGGCCAAUUCCUUUCCCCCUUUUAUUGUACUCAACAAUUGGCCUCAGUUUCUGAAGUUUUCUCUUCACAACACGAGGCAUUGUGCUCAUACCUCGACCAGCCUUUGAAUCAUCAGAGAUUGUUGUCGCGCUGGUUGGUUCUGUAUCAGCAGAUGAUGAAGCAAACUUCAUCUUCUUCGAAGACUUCACUAUCUUCGAAGACUUCUCUUGAGGAGGUACCAUUCCAAGGUCCUUACCUCCAUUUUCUUGGAGCCAGAAUCCUUACUUUGGUCUUGGUGAGAAACUAUUUUUACAGACAAAACUGCAAGUGAAAAUAUUUCAAGAAAAUAUUAAGAACACAAACGACGGUUAUUAAUAAAAUACGACGUAUGAUAUGAUUUUAAACGACGCAAUGAAAUAAUAUCAGACGUAAUAAAUGUUUAAAACCAAGGUAAUUAAACAACGACGAAAUAAUUAACUAUAAACGACGUGAUAAUUAACUAUAAACGACGGAAUAUUUAUAUAACGUCGUGGUAUUGAUGUUCACACGACGUCAGUAGUAAUAUACCGUCGUCUAUAUAAGGAUCCAAAACCCUUCUUUCUUUCUCUGUGAAUGUUUGAUUGCAGAUUUGAUUUUUCUGAACCAUGGUUUUUGUUUUCUAAUUUGAUAAAAUACAAGGCCAAGAAAGAAAGUUUUUGAAUCUUAUAUAGACGACGGUAUUUUAAUAUGACGUCGUGGUAUUAACAUUCACACGACGUAAAACAAUAAGAUACUGCCGUCUAUAUUAGAUACCAACCCUAAUUUUUUUUCUUUAUAUUUUAUCAAAUUAGGGAAAAACAAAAACCAUUGUUCAGAGAAAUCAAACCUGCAAUUAAACAAGCAAAUAAAAAAAAGACUAUAAUUUUAAAAACAACUUUGUCAAUUUUCAAACGACGCUAGAACGACUGACGAACCGUCGUGGUCUACAUAUUUAACCACGUAAAUAAGAAGCUACCGUCGUCUUAUUUAGUUGAGGUAGUUGUCUUCAAAGUUGGAAACUUUCCCUAUUUGUCUGUAAAUUUUAUCGAACUUGGAAAGAAGUAAAAUGAUUUUGGCCAGAAAAAAGGUAAAAAGAUUUUUCAAACAAAAAACGUAUGAGCAUGCAAAACAGCAACGAAAAUAGUGAAAAUGAAAGCUUACCUUUUGCGUGCAAUGAAAGCAAGAGGAAGACGAUCGAUGUUUAAGUUCAGAGACGACGAAGAAGACGAGAGGAAGACGAUGAGAUACUCUAACAGUGCUCUGACAAGGAAAAAAGUCUAAAAGUUUUCUCUGGGAGAUUGAAAUUUUUAAUCGGGUUUGGAAAUAGUGCAUGUGUAAGUCAGGUAGACGAAAAGUUGCUUACAUAUAAAACCAUUUCAAAAAAAUAAUACGGCGGUUACAUAUAACUACGACGUAUAAAUUACAAACUACGACGGUAAAUUUAACUUCGGACGUGGUAAAUAAAUACGACAGUAGUGUUGUAGGUACCGUCGUAGUAAACUCAAAAAUUAAAGUACAUAAGUAAUAACUCGCGUCAUGGUAGAUCAUUUAACACGUCGUUUUUAUUAAUGCACCGACGUAGAUUUCUGUAAUAUACGUCGGUAAUACCGACGUUGAUUUUACAAUUUAAACGGCGGUUUUUUGUAAGGACCGCCGUUGGUUUUAAAAAUUUAUUCUAUAAAUUUGUCGCUUUCAUUCAUUUUCGGUUUACAUUUAGGGUUCCAAGUUCUUCCUCUCUCAGAGACACUGUCUCUCACGUCUCAAAGACAAUAAUUUGGAUGUCUUUCUCAAAGAGAAAUUGAGCUUACUCGCAUCAAAUAUAGGACACUUAGUGCUUCUGAAUACUCCUUGCUUUCCAUCAAAAAAGAUGCAAGCCUGGCCUCCACUCCCUGUCGAAGGAAAGUUCGCUUCUCAGGGAAAUCUGAAGAUCAGAUGUGCCUGAUCCUCUGCUUGAUUUUCUUGGCUAAGAAGAUCCGUCAGAUCCAAACUGUUAAAGAAACUGAAACUGUUAAAGAAACCCUAAACUAACACGACGCAAUAUUUGUUUUGCGACGUGGAAUCUUUUCAUUUAACGUCGUUAGGUUUAAUAUAACCGACGUGGAUUUGAAUUUUUAAAUUAUGAAUAGAAUUUUUUUUCCCGUGACCUUUUAGUUUAUUUUUCAAUUACAGUGCGUUAUAAAUAGAGUUUUUUUUUUCCGGAGGAAAUUUAAAAUGAAGGAAAUUAAUGUUCUGGAAUAUGUAAAGUUUCUUUUUUGGAUGACAGAUUUAAAUAAAAUAAGAAUAUAAAAACAACGACUGUUUUUGUAUUACUGUCGUCGUUUUUUGUCGUCUUAAGUAAGACUAAGACGACGUAAUAUAUUUGUUGAGCGACGUUGAUUUGUUUUUUAAAUGUCGUUACAUAUAAUAUAACCGUCGUUAACAAAAAUUCUUAUUAAGACGACGGUUUAAAUUAAAGGUACGACGUAUAAAAUGAAUAAAUACGACGUUAAAUUUUAUAGUACGAUUUAAAGAUAACGUCGUAGAACUAUACGAGAAUGACGUCGAUAUAUUUAUAUUUUCCGUCGUUGUACAUUAAUUUAAUACGGCGAUAUUUUGUAUUUUCAAGCCGUGGAUUUGUUUGUAAUUAUACGGCGUCUUAUACGAAAACCUCGUCGUGUUAUUUUAUGAGUAAAAACGGCGGCUUUUAUUGAAAUCGUCGUCUUCACUUUCUACGUCGGUCGAUUCAUAACUUUUGCCGUUAUUUGUUGGCUUUGAUUUUACACUGCGGAAAUCUGUUUCAAAUAGACGUCGGUUUUUUAAUUAGGUACGUCGUUGUUUUUGAACAGCCAUUUGAAUCUCCAUUUUUUAGUUGUCUAAGGUGGUAUUACACGACGGUGUUUUUAGAACCGUCGUCUUUUUAAAAACCACGACGGUUUUCACUUAGACCAUCGUUGUUUUCUGGUAGUCUUUUUCACUUUUUGUAGUAGUGAAAAAACCUAAGCGAAGGAAAAAGAGUACAACUUGAUUUGGGACAUAAGGGUAAUGCGCUCAUGUUGCCUCGUUAAAACCUUGCUAGGAAAAACCCGGUGGAAAAAAAAACCCUAGUCGAAGGAAAAAGAGUACAACGCGCAUAUGUCCUGUGUUAGAGGACUCUUGAAUGCUCCCCCUGAUUUUGCAUGCUCCAACUUGAUUUCUUGCAGAGUUGUCGUAAUCCGAUGCCAUGCACUAACUUUUGGAAUGUACAUUUCGGCAAUGAUUUAGUGAAGAGAUCUGCCAGGUUAUCGCUUGAGCGGAUUUGUCUGACUUUGAUUUCUUGACUCUUCUGGAGCUCGUGUGUAUAGAAAAACUUUGGUGAUAUGUGCUUAGUCCUGUCACCCUUGAUAUACCCUCCUGUUAUCUGAGCAAUACAAGCUGCAUUGUCCUCAUUCAGGAUUGUUGGAGUGUCUGUUGCUGAGGGUAGGGCACAUGUGCUUCGGAUGUGAUGGAUCACCGACCUUAACCAAACGCAUUCACGACUGGCUUCAUGGAGGGCAAGUAUUUCUGAGUGAUUGGAAGAUGUGGCCACUAGUGUUUGUUUCGUUGAGCGCCAUGAGAUUGCAGUUCCUCCGCAUGUAAAUACAUACCCAGUCUGUGAUCGUCCUUGAUGUGGAUCAAAGAGAUAUCCUGCAUCAGCAUAACCAACAAUACUUUGGGCGUUGGUCGAUUCACUGGAAUAGAAUAAGCCCAUGUCUGUUGUCCCACGAAGGUAUCGUAGAACAUGUUUGAUGCCGGUCCAAUGUCGCCUUGUUGGAGCAGAACUGUACCUUGCUAACAGAUUUACUGAAAAUGAUAUGUCUGGUCUGGUACAUUGUGCCAGGUACAAUAAAGCACCUAUUGCACUAAGAUAUGGUACUUCUGGACCAAGGACCAUUUCAUCAUCCCAUUUUGGACGAUAUGGGUCUUUCUUAGUGUCAAGCGACCGAACGACCAUUGGAGUGCUAAGUGGAUGGGCUUUAUCCAUGCCAAACCGUUUCAAUACUUUUUCAGCAUAAGUUGAUUGAUGCACCAAAAUUCCAUUAUCACUAUGCUCAAUAUGUAAGCCAAGACAAUAUUUUGUCUUUCCAAGGUCUUUCAUCUCAAACUCACGUUUGAGAUAAUCAGCAGUCUUUUGAAGCUCUUCCGAAGUUCCAAUCAGAUUCAUGUCGUCGACAUAUACUGCCACUAUCGCAAAUCCAGACUCUGAUUUCUUAAUAAACACACAUGGGCAAAUAGGAUCAUUUGUGUAUCCUUCCUUCAGUAAAUACUUACUGAGACGAUUGUACCAUAUUCGUCCAGAUUGUUUUAGCCCUUAUAAUGAUCUUCUCAAUUUAACUGAGAACAUGCCCCGUGGUUUAUUUCUAACUGCUUCAGGUAGCUUGAAUCCUUCUAGAACUUUCAUGUAUAUAUCUGUAUCCAAUUCUCCAUACAGAUAUGCAGUAAUGACAUCCAUGAGUCUCAUUUCAAGUUUUUCUGAAACAGCCAAACUUAUUAAGUAACGGAAUGUAAUUGUGUCCAUUACUGGAGAGUACGUUUCCACAUAAUCAAUUCCAGGCCUUUGUGAAAAACCUUGCGCAACGAGUCGCGCUUUAUACCUUGAUAUCUUAUUUUUCUCAUUGCGCUUUCUUGUAAAUACCCACUUGUAACCUACAGGGUUUACAUUGAGUGGAGUUGGAACAAUAUGUCCAAAAACACUCUUUUUUUUCCAAAGAAUUUAAUUCUGCCUGGAUUGCAUCUUUCCACUUAGGCCAAUCUUGCCUCUGUGUACAUUCAUUAAUAGAGCACGGCUCAAUAUCAUCAUCUUUUAUGAUCUCAGCAGCCACUGAGAAUGCAAAUAUAUCAUCGAUGAUCAUCUCAUUUCUACUCCACAAUUCAUCAGUGGACGCAUAAUUUAUGGAGAUUUCUUGACUUUCAGGUACAGUUGCCACUCCAGGGGCAUUGUCUCACCAAUGACGUUUUCCUUUUCAGGAAGUACCUGUCCCUCUUUGGGGGCAUUUGAAUUAUGAAUUGUGGGCUCUCUAUUUAUUUCAUUUGGAUUCAUUUUGUCCAUCAACUUCCUCUUUCGAGGAACUGAAUCCUUUGAGCCUAGUGGUCUGCCACGCUUCAGGCGUGCAACAGAUGAACCAUUUGCUGGCAUAUUGCCUUGUCCAUUAUGGACAUCAAUCCCUGCGGGUGCAUUUGCAGUUGGGAUAUGAGAUUUCGUCACCUUUGCUGCAUCAUUAAAUGCAUCUGGCAUCUGAUUUGCAAUACUUUGGAGGUGAACGAUCCUUCUCACUUCAUUUUCGAAUUGAACAGUAUGAGGAUCGAGAUGAGACAAUGUGGAUACAUUCCAUGAUAAUUCAUGUCGUUCUUCAGGAAUGAGUUUGCCUUGUUCUUUAGACACAGAUUUUUCUCCACCUAAUGAUGGGAAGAUUGUCUCAUCAAAAUGACAAUCCGCAAACCGUGCGGUAAAAAUAUCACCCGUCAGGGGUUCCAGAUAUCUGAUGAUAGAUGGUGAAUCAAAACCAACAUAAAUUCUCAAUCUACAUUGAGGGCCCAUCUUAGUACGUUGCGGUGGUGCAAUGGGCACAUAUACCGCACACCCAAAAAUUCUUAAAUGUGAAAUGUUUGGUUGAUUCCCCAAUACGAGUUGUAUUGGAGAAUAUUGAUUGUUUGCGACGGGCCUCAAUCGCACAAGUGAUGCUGCAUGUAAAAUGGCAUAUCCCCAAGCAGAAACUAGCAACUUUGUUUUCAUUAGCAAAGUGCGUGCUAUCAACUGAAGGCGCUUAAUUAAAGCUUCUGCCAAGCCAUUUUGAGUAUGCACAUGGGGAACAGGGUGUUCAAUGUCAAUGCCUAGUGACAUGCAGUAGUCAUCAAAAGUUUGAGAUGUAAAUUCACCAGCAUUAUCGAGUCUGAUUGACUUAAUGGGAUAAUCUGGGAAUUGGGCUCAUAAUUUGAUUAUCUGAGCCAAAAGUCUAGCAAAUGCCAUAUUCCGAGUAGACAAAAGACAAACAUGUGACCAUCGGGUAGAUACGUCUACCAAGACCAUAAAGUACCGAAAUGGUCCACAUGGAGGAUGAAUAGGUCCAUAAAUGUCCCAUUGAAUUCUCUGCAAAAAUGAUGGAGACUCAACAUCAACCUUUGGUUGUGAUGUUCUGAUCACCAACUUCCCUUGUGAACAAGCUUGGCAAAAGAUGUCACUUGAUAACAUAAUGUGUUUAGUCAACAAGGGAUGUCCUUUAGAGUUGGUGAUGAUUCUGCGCAUCAUGGUGGAUCCAGGAUGACUCAACCUGUCAUGCCAAAGCUUAAAAGCAUUUGAGUCAAUGGACUCUUGGUCCAUGACACUAUGUGCCUCAAUUGUCCGUAUGGUUGUAUAAUACAACCCUGAUGAGAGCGCACAAAGCCUCUCCAGUAUACGCUUUUGGGUAUCACUGGAGGUAAUGCAAAGAAAUUCCAUUUUUUUCUCUUUCUUUGUUUCAACAUGGUAGCCAUUCAAACGUAUAUCUUUGAAACUCAAUAGAUUCCUUCUGGAGUUAGAUGAAUACAAAGCAUCUGGAAUGGACAGUAUUGAUCCAUUUGGUACCAUAAUUUGGGCUAUUCCUGAGCCUUCAAUCAGAUCUGCAGGACCUGAUAUGGUUGUUACCUUUGCUUUUGUAAGCAUUAAUUUUGAGAAAUACUUUCGAUCUUGAAGGAUCGUAUGAGUAGUCGCGCUGUCUGCGAGACAAGUAUCUUUGCCAUAACCUUUGUUUUGAGGGCAUCCAUAAUUUACAUCCAUGCCUUUAAAUAAGCUGAAUCAAUAAAGAAGAAAACAUUACUACUUUUAUUGGAUUGAAAUGAAAAAUUAAACAACACUUCAGCUACUACAAAUAGUACAUUAAGGAAUUUAAUCUAAUUCGGACUCAGAAGCUUCAUUCCCUCUUUCAGUAACAAAGUCAGAAACAUCCAGAUGCGUUUUGUUUAGCUGACGCGAUAUUUCUGAUGAGCCAUCUGUGGCUGGUGGAGCAUGAUCAAUGUAAUUUAUCUCCACUUUCCUGUUCUUAAGUGAAGCUUGAUAGAGAUCCGCCAAAUGCUUGGGCAUACGACAUGCGCGCACCCAAUGUCCCUUUGUACCACAUCUGUGACAAGUGCUUUCAACAUUUCUAGGCACAUGGCUCAUCUGUGCCUUUCCCUUAUUACGGGAUGUAUUUUUGCCAUUCGUGGAUGGACCGCUCCUUGGACCUAAACCCUCUGAAAGAGCACCACGAUCUUUUCUGCUUCCUUGCCAGCGGCCACGCUUGCCCCCUCGCCUAUGUUUGUGGAUACUACCACGAGAUGAAGUGGCAUUCACUUCCUGAGAUGCAGCAUUUAUUUCAGGAAGUGGUGCUGAGCCUGUUGGGUGAGAUUGGUGAUUCUUUAAUAAGAGCUCAUUAUUCUGCUCAGCUAACAAGAGGCAAGAUACAAGUUCCGAGUACUUCUUAAAACCGCUAUGUCUGUAUUGCUGCUGAAGGAGGACAUUUGAAGCAUGAAAAGUGCUUAGAGUUUUUUCGAGCAUAUCCUCCUCAGAUAUAUUUUCCCCACAUAGCCUCAUUAAUGAGGUAAUUCUGUGCAUAUCAGAGUUAUAAUCGGACACUGACUUGAAAUCUUGAAAUCUCAAGUGAGUCCAUUCGUAUCUAGCUCUUGGGAGAGUCACCAUCCUCUGGUGAUCGUAUCUUUCACCUAGAGCUUUCCAUAGAACCAACGGUUCAUCAACCACCACAUAUUCGCUCUUCAGCGCUUCAUGGAUGUGGCGGCGAAGAAAGAUCAUGGCCUUCGCAUUCUCUUCAGGCGAAGCAUCAUUCUCAUCUACAAUUGUUUGUCCGAUGCCAUUGGCUCGUAGAUGAAUUUUGGCAUCUAGGACCCAUGAUAAAUAGUUGUCCCCGGAAAGGUCCAAGGCAGCAAACUCUAGUUUUGCCAAAUUUGCCAUCCGAAAAUUUGCCAAAUAGUUGGGGAUUUAUCAUUUGAUGAAUACUUUUCACAAUACACUUACUCUACAUAUAGAGAUGAUGAAGAUAGUGAAAAUAUAGGAACUCUAUGUGGUACUAAGUUACUCAUGUAUCUUACCAUGUAAUGUAUAAAGUGUAAAAUAUUGUAGUAAAUCAUGAUUAUGGUGUGUUUAAUCUUUUUUUCAUUAAUUACUACAUAUUUUCUACACUCAUAGUUUUUGCCAGCUCGCUGUAUAAUCAACUUAAAUCAGUUAAAUCCAUCAUGUAAUGCAUUUCCUUCUAAUUUUAUUUUUUUUUUGAUAAACUAAUAGAUAAUUGACAAAUAAACAUUCUCCAAAGUUUCAAUAAAAAUUUCCAAGUUUUUCUUACAAUUUCCGUGGUUUUUAUUCAAUUUUUAUCGAUAUCAAUAAUAUCCCGAUAUUUCCAUCGAAAUUUUCAUAUUUUUGAACUACCGAUAUUUCCGAUAUCAUCGAUAUUUUAGACAUGGUUGAGAGUGAACCUCCGACCUAAUUGGGACUUGUCAAUGCCAUGUCAUCAUUUUUAACGGAAAAUUUGACAGAGAUGACGACAAGGACGGUUUCUAUAACUGGAGGCAUAAUUAAAGUACGACGGUAACAAUUUAUCAAUGUGAGGGACGAAAAGUAAAGUUGGGGUAUAGUCCAGGGACCAUUGCUACAAUUUUGCCAUAAGUUUUUUAAAAGUUAUUAACUUUUUGGAUACCACCAAAUAUUUGAACACUUUUAAAAAGUCACAACUGAAUACCACCAAACUUUUAAGUACUUUUAACUACUUCUUAAAAGUCACAAUUGAAUACAACUAAACUUUUAAGGAAAGUGGAAUUAAAUACUUGUCUCCUUCCUUAGAAGUAGGAACUCCUACUUUCCUGUUAAUCACAGUUUGCAAUGUGUGUUGACAUUCUUCUUUUUGUGUUUUUGAUGAAUUAUUUUUGGGGUCAAACUUUGAUUUGCAGGCAGUAAGAAUUCCUCCUUUCAGGUAAGGAGGGAAGCAGUGUCCAACUUUUAAAUAUUAUUUAAAAGUCACAGUUGAAUACCUCUAAAUUUUUUAACUCUAUGAAAGUCUUUAAAAAUUAGAAUUGAAUACACCCCAAUAUUAAUAAAAUAACUCGAAAAUAAAAAAUCUAACAUGUGGCUGAAAAUAAUCAAUUAUUGCAAAUAUCGAGUAUCGUUUCAAUCAAAGAGAAUAGUGUAAAAGUUCACAAAAUUUUAAAAGUAACUGUAGCAAAAGUAAAUUUUAAACAACAUUUACAUAUAUAGAUGAAAAGAGCGCGGAUAUCUUUUGUGGGGGCUUUUUUGUUCUAGGAACUACAGAUGGCCCUGGGCUGCUGUAAAGAGCAAAUGGAUGGAGUUGUUCCUAUGUCUAAUUUCAAGAAUUAGGCCCCAAAAGUGCUUCGAAAGGUUCAUGGAGCCUUAGGAAACACCUUGGUUUCCUUCACCAACGAAACCAAAAGUUGCUUACAGAUAAAUACUUUGGCUUGGCUUGAGAAGCUUGUGUCAUGGGAGCUGAGCAUUCAUGAGUUUAGCAUGAGAGAAAGAAAGCCUGGAUUAUCUAUGAGAAACAGAGGUUCAAAGCAAGGGGAAAGAGAGUUUUAGAAGGAUUUGUUAAGGAAAAGAGAGGGAUAUGUGAAGGUGGAAGAAUGGGUGGCUUUAGCAAAUUUCCAGCAGCUUGACGAAAGCUUCAUCAAGCUCUUGGAUGGUUUGCCAGAAGAGAAAAUGGGGAAGAAAUGGAAGAACAUAGCCUGAAAUCAAAGGGUUUCGGAGAUGCUUGCUCUCUCUGGAUGUGGCUGAGAGAGAGGGUUUCGGAGAUGCUUGCUCUCUCUGGAUGUGGCUGAGAGAGAGGGUUUCGGAGAUGCUUGCUCUCUCUGGAUGUGGCUGAGAGAGAGAGAGAGAGAGAGAGAGAGAGAGAGAGAGAGAGAGAGAGAGAGAGAGAGAGAGAGAGAGGAAGAAGAUGGAGAAUGGAAGAAUGGGUCGCUUGAGCAACUCUUUCAGCAGCUUGACGAAAGCUUCAUCACACUCUUUGGUGUUUUGCCAGAAGAGAAAAGGGGAAGAAAUGGAAUCAUAAAGCUUGAAAUUGAAGGGUUCCAGUGGUGAGAGGUGAUGCUUGCUCUCUCUAGAUGUGAUUAUGAAAGAGAGAGGAAAAAGAUUAGGGUGGAAGAAUGGAUGGUUUUAACAAAUUUCCGGUAGCUUGACUAAAGCUUCACUAUUAUACUAUAUAUGGACUCAAAUUAUUAUAUUAAAUUAAAUUAAAUAACCUACAUUAAAUAAACUUUAUAAACACACUCAAAAUCCAUUUACAACAUAACAAAGAGGCUUUGAAAUUCAUUUAAAUUACAAAACUGCCAUCGAUAUCUUAGAGACACUAAUAAAAAGUAUCAUCAGUUGAAUGUCAUUAGAGACUGAUAAUGCAAACAGUCAAUAAAAUACUAUUAGUGACGGAUUAAUAAAUUUUGUUACUAAUUAUUUGAAUAGGUUACCAAAUAAGGCACAGAUAACUAAUAACCAUGCCCAAAAGCCCUCCACCGUGUCAUUGUACCAACAAAACUUGUAAGUACACAUCAUCGUCUACACCCUUCUUUCUUUCUUUUACCCCUCAUAUUUUAGGUGUUUUUUCAGGCAAGCAGAGCUCUCUCUCUCUCUCUCUCUCUCUCUCUCUCUCUCUCUCUCUCAACACUCAUUGAACCACCUCCUCCUCCUCCCCCCCUCCUCUCUCAACCUCUCUAUCUGACUCAGAUCCUACUCAGAUCCUCCGUUCUCUCGGAUCGUUUGUCGUGGCUUCACAGGUUUCAAUUUUUUCGAUAACCUUUAUGACGAUGUCCGUUGGUCUUCGGCAAUUGACACGUCGCUUCUCCAUCUUAUUCUCACAUUGCAGUCUUCCCUCAGCCUCACUCUCACCCUCUCAAUCCCGUUAAUUGCCUCUUGCACCAUCGAAUGACCCCCCCGAAACCCAGACGAAAAACCCCCAAAUUUUACCCAUAAACCAAACUCAGACCGCUGCCUCCUUCGCUCAAAGGCGAAAGGUAUAGUUGUUUCUUUUCUCCUCUUCUUUUUGUAAUUUGAUCUGCAUAUUAUUAUUUCAUAACUUUUGGAAGGUUUGAAGAUUUGCUACAUUUUCCUAAGGUUUGAAUUCCUUGUGUUUUUUUUUUUCUCUCUUUUUUAAGCAGAUUAAUUAAUUAGUUAACACAUUCAUUCAAAUGAAGGAAUGAGGCAGUUUUUGCAACAAAUAAUCUGGUACGAAGAUGCUUCUUUGAGCCUGAGAAUGCAACUAUGUUGGCCAAAACCAAUGAAUAGGAGGGAUUCGCAUAUUAGGCAGGAGUAAGGGUAGCAACACAGUAGUCAUUUACUGUUUAAGCUAAUUUUGAGUUAUUCCCUACUCUUUUACCCAUUUAUCUCUAUGGUAGGUAUUAACUGCAGCAUUAUGAUUAAGUGUCAUCUUCUGCUUUCCUCGAAUUUACUAAUUCAUGACUCUUAUAGAUUCUCCUCAUUUUUGGUACUUCCUUGAGCUUGUGGAUGAAUCUUUCAAAAAUAUCCAUUGCAAUUGUGGUACACAUGGAUGAGGUAAUUCACAAAUUUCAUAUAACAGGGGCACAAGUGCUCUACAUGUCAAUCUUUUGCGAUAUUCCAAAAUGCCUAAACUUUACAAACUACAGCUACAAGCCAUGUGUUUUAAUCCUUCACUGCCAAUCGUUGGUAACAAUAGUUGUUUUGUCAGGUGGGAAGAAUACGUUUUGGGUGAUGUACAUAUGUAUUUUCAUAUAAGAAUGCGACAUAACAUCCUUCUUUAAAUUUAGUUUUGUUUAGAAAACUGUAAAAUUAUAAACUCGAAUUCUGUUGGUACCAUUAGUUUUUACUACAAUUGACAUUAGGUACAAUUUGUCUUACUAUCUUGGAAAAUUUUGGUGUAGAGGAAUGGAAAAGGGCUUGAAGAUGAGCUGCCCCUUGAAGCAAAUGGAGACUACACCAAGUCAAGGAGGAGGAGCUUAAUUAAUGGUACUUUAUGGUUGUUGAUGAGCACAUUUUAUAUCUUAAUUUAUAUUCCUAAAAUAUAUUUAUUUUGAUGACAUUAGGUUAAAUUUGGUGCACUACUACUUGACCAACUGUGGCUUCUAUUUGUUAUUGUUGGUGUUUUUCUUUCUUUCUAAUUUUAUGUCUUUCUUUUUAAGGUACAAUAGACACGCUGGCUGCACACUUAUUUGGUAAUAUGUUGCAGGUAUUUUUCUCUAAAAACAAAUGACUUGGAGAGAUAGUCUAGAGUCCUGAAUCUUUGCAUCAUGAGGAGGAUAUGGUUCAGUGGACAGAAAGUUUUAUAGGCUGAAGCUUUAUAGGCUGUUCUGUUUGAAAACCGCAGCUAGGUUGGUGCAUAUCUGUGUGUUUUUACAUGGGUUAAUCAAAAUGUUAUUUGUUCUUGAAUGCUUAUAUGAUCUUGAUUUAUCAUUGACUAAAAUAACUUCAAGAGAUUAUCUACAUUGAUUCCCAUUUGUUUCUUCAAUGCAAAAUUUAACUGUUAUAUUGUCAUACUCAUUCAAAUCAGAAAGUUACUUCUUUUGUAACAAUGGGUAAAUAAUCCUUUUAUUAUAUGGUAAACUGAUAUGAUAUGUGAUCAUUGUCCUUUCCUUUUUUUCUUUUUUGUCACAUUUUCUGGAUGUCAGGAAGACGACCGCAUAAUCAAGCAAGUUGGGAGACCUGGUGCUAAAAGAUUGUUUGUUCUUGCAAAGUUCUUACCAGGGUGAGUUAUACCGUGAAAACUCACUUCCAGAUCUUGAGAGAACCACUCAAAUGCAUGAUAAUAUGCAAAGUACUUUGGUUUCCAAUUUAUAAGCAUGCUGUUUGUAUUUCAUUUGUAUUGAUAUAUACCUUAGCAUAUUGACCACUUGCAAUACUUGGUCUAUUUUCAGUAUGAAAAUAUCCUGAGGAUAGGUCCAGCACUUGCAACACUUUCUGUGUUUUCAUUAUGAAAAGAUUAAUGGAAUUAUUGUGUAUGGUGUUUUCUCAUUAAUUUCGGAAGUGUUGAAUAUAAGUAUUUCCAUUAGGAAUGUAAUUCAUUUAUUUGUAAAACAACGAAUAUUUGAAAACGAAAAAAAAAAAAAAAAACCAAUGAACGUUUGAGGCACGGACUGAGGUUGGGUUGCUAAUGUUUAAAUAUAUGAAAAAACUUUUAAAAGAAUAUUUUUUACAAAUAAUAUUAAAAAAAAAUACACGAAACAAACAUAAAUAUAUCAAAAUAAUGAAAAUGUUUUUCUAUUUUAGUGGGGACUGAUGAGCAUUCCGUGCCUUUUGAUUAUAUUAGCCACGGAUGUAUUUGGGAUUCAUGCACGGGUAUUGGGUGCUAGGAAUGUGGGACUCAUGGUAAAAAUUAGGCACUGAUUUUUAUAAUCAGUGACAUUUUUCAAUAGAGGACCCCUUUAAAAAUCACUGAUAUAUAUCAGUCCUGUUGUAAAGAAGGAUAAGUAAAGAAGAAUAGAUGAAGCUCACAUAGCAAAUUAACACCCAUCAAACCUAACCACACACCCAUCAAACCAAACCACUACCCAAUUGAUUGAAGAAUAUUAAUGAUGUUGUUGAUUGAAGAAUAUUAAUGAUGUUGUCUACCAAUUAUAUUGUGAGGUGAACAACAAAUGUCUUAGGCCUAUAAAUAGAUACCUCUAUCAAGAGAAGUUUACACACACAUAGAAGAGGAAGAGAAGGAAGAAUGAGGGUGAGUGAGUUGAGAGGAAAGAGAGCAAGAGAGAAAUUCUCCAAGAGAGAAAAUUGAGUGAGCCAUACAUAUUGUAAACACAAAGUUGUAGCCCUAUUAUUUUACAUAGUGGAAAAGUUACUGCUGCUGCUCUCCGGGGAUGUAGGCAUAGCCGAACCUCGUUAAAUACUGUGUCUCAUCUACUUUACGUGCAGCUCAAUAUUCGCACAUAUACCAGUUCAUUUUAUAACACGUUAUCAGCACGAGAAGCUCCCAGGUAUAAUUUUUGUGUUGCACUAUUAUCUAUACUACUAACCCUUAUGUUGAUGUAAGGAAGAAAAGUAGUAGAGGAGCUGUGGUCUGCAAGAGAGAUAUACGAGCAAACCAACUGUGUGCAGAUUACAGGUGGAAAGCGUUUGAUUUAAGAGACAAGCAUGAUGCCUUCCACAAACGAUAAUAAUAUUAUCUGCUAUACUAUUUGAUCGUGGUAUUGAUGAGAACCCACCAAUAAUUGCCUUUUACUUUACCGCAAAUUUACUUUUACUUAAAGUAAUAUAAUAUAUUAUAUUUACUGUAUGGUGUAGGUUUAUUACUCAUACAACAGUAUUUAUUUAAAAGGGUGGUGCGGGUUUAUCGUCCACGUCUUUACUUCUAUUUAAAUGUAUGGAGCAGAAUUAGUGCCCAUACAAGCACCAUUUACUUUACCGCACAUUUAAUUUUAUUUAAAGUAUGAUGCGGGAUUAACGUCCAUACAGCAAACAAUUUAAUUUAUGAAUUUAAUUUACCGCACAUUUACAUUUAUUUAAAAGGGUGGUGCGGGUUUAUCGUCCACGCCUUUACUUUUAUUUAAAUGUAUGGAGCAGAAUUAAUGCCCAUACAAGCACCUUAACUUUAUGAAUUUAAUUUACCGCAUAUUUACAUUUAUUUAAAGUGUGGUGCGGGUUUAUCGUCCAUACCAGUAAUUUAUUUACCAGCAAUCUAUUUAUGGAUUAAAUGUGCUGUAUGAUGAGUUUUUACAAUAUGCAGAUCAGGACCAGAAGUUCCUUGAUCCUCAUCAUACAAUUACAUCAGGACUUGAAGAUCCUUGAUGAUGAUGUUAAUAUGAGAGCUGGCAGUCUCUCCGGUACUAUAUUUGUAAACAUGUGAUUGGACUUGAGGGUCCUUGAUCCCUGACAUGUAAAUUAGGACCUGGGGUUCCUUAAUGAUGUAACAGUACCGUAUUGGUUCAUAAUGCCGUACACAUGGAUGAUAACUGUACCGGCAAAUGUACUGUACACAUGAAUAGAUACGUAUUCAUGGCUUGAUGAAUAGUACCGGAUAUAUGAAUAGUGACGUAUACAUAAAUAUUAACCAUUUUGGGUAAACCAUCACUAUUCAAAAAGGAACCUGCAAUUUCUUAAACUCAUGGAUGAGCAAUUAAAUAAGAUGCCAGAAGUUCCUCAAAAUAUGGACAAUUAUGUAAGGGCUUGAAGUCCAGAAAUAUGUACAGAAAAUUGUAAAAAUGUUCAUACCAUGAGAAUAUGUGAUUUUGGCCCGAAGUUCAAAAUCUAAGGGGAUUGAAUGUCCAUACCAUGAGAAUAUGUGAUUUUGGCCUGAAGUUCAAAAUCUAACAGUGUUGAGAACCUAAAGUUCCAACAAUUAAAUGGACAACCCUUGAGGUAUUAUUGCAAAUUGUGGUACGCCACAUAUUUCUUUGGCAUAAGAGAAUGAUGAAUCGAGGCUCCCCACAUAUUUUGUUAUAUCUGGGCCAGAAGCUCAUGAACUCAAAUAUAUGAGAUAAUAGCGUGGCUUUUACUCAAUCCAUAUUUCAUGUUCAUUUGAAAAGGACAAAUAAAUUCUGAGUUUGUGUUUAGCACAGGCCAAAAGUUCCAUACGUUGAAAUAUGAAAUUUGGGAGAGACGAUGUGGUUAUUUGAACCUAUAAGGCACAAGGUUCCAAACCGUCAUUUUGAAAAGACGUAAAAAACCACAGGUGCAAGUUUAAGAAUGUGCGCAAUUAUUAUAACAGGAACAUACAACAGAUAGAUUUUUUCCUGCAAUGAAGGUGCAGGCCCUGUAAAAUCUAUAAAAAUACAUUAUGUUCUGGAAGCCUCUGAAGGAAGAGGACGACGCCUCUUAAACUUAGCCAUGAGCCUCUCAUGGUCUCCCAAAAUUCUUUCAUUGGAGACCUGCAGCAUGUCUAGCCUUCUCAGUGUAUCAACAGAGUAUGAACUCACAGUUUCAACAAGGCAUUAUUCUCUCCUUUAAGUUUAUCAACCUCCUGUUGAGACUCAUGAAGUAUUCUUUGGAGAGACGAAUUUUCAGUAGCUAACCUCUCAACCUCGUUUGCUCUGGCACGCAAACGAUCAGCCAUGUUAGAAACAGAAACAGCACUCUGAAUGCUAAAAGCCAUUGAGUCAUAAAUAGCCUCUUCCUCUGAUCUCCCUGUCAACAACAUUUCAUCCAUUGGAGUAAUACAAUUCCUAGCUACUAUGACAGCAGUAGCAUCAUUCAUCAUCACAGAAUCAUUAACUGUGAAAUGACGAUUUUGGGAUACAAAGGAUGGACGCCAAACUUGGGCGUCACUGGUUGUUGUGGGAGUAUCAUUUAAAUUGAGAUAAUUUGGGCAGGAAGAAGAGGAAGCCAUUUUUAAGAAGGUUUCGAAGAAAGUCUUAAGAAAACUAAAGUUUCAGAAAAUGAAGGAAGUUGAGUUGAAACGCAGUUGCUCCAAUCAAGUUUUGCAAAGGCAAUAUCUAUAGGAGGAAAUAUGACUACAGUUUUCAGGAUCCCAAUAUUAUCUCAGAUCCCCAUAUUAUCUUUUUUUCUUUCCCAGAUUCCAAAACUUCACGUGGCCUUCAUUAAUGUUUGUCGGCACUUUCGGCGUUUUCAAAGUAUUAUUUUCGUCAAAAGCCGAUCUUGCUUUACGGAUUUCAUGCAGCUACUUUUUCAAAAGUAUCCCGAGAAUCUCGCAAUUUUCCUAUGGUUAAUUUGAAAUUUUCCGGUUCUACCUAUUCCUCUUAUUUGUGUAUAAAUGUGUUACUAACGAAAUUUUCUUUGCAGAAGACAUCCAGUUUUUCUCCAUACCUAUUGAUGCGAUAUCUACUUGUUUUUCUUAUCAGUGAGCACUUAAUAUGCCCGAGAAGCAAGACUAUCUCUGAUCAUCCAUUCAGGAAGCGAGACUAUCCCUGAUCACGUUUCCGCCACAUCAGGGAACUGUGAAGGCAACCUUAUGCUCUAAUCUCCGGAAGUUCUUCUGGACUAGAAGAAAUGAGAGCUUGUUGUUUGCUCCCACCAGCUUCCUUCCUUGAUUGCUGAGCUUGUUGUCUGCUCCCACCAGCUUCCUUCCUUGAUUGCUUACCUUCUCUUGCAAUCAAUAUCACAUUUUUUUUGCAUUUUUUUUCUCUUUUUGUAACUCUCUGAGGAUUAUUUGUUUUUGACAGAGAAAAGAGUUGUGAUUUUGCUCUUGCAGGAUAUAACUAGAUCAUCAAGCACUACAUUUACUGGGCCGAUACAAGCUUGAAUGAUACUUGAGAAAAGUUUCUCCCACCUAAGGACGUAAGCAAUACUUGUGUUAUUUUAUGCUUAUAUACUUAUUUGAUAUUUUAUCCGUUCCAAUAGAAUGGCUUGUAUGUAUCCACGAAUUAUUAAUGCAAAUUUUACAGAUUGCAAGUUGGAUACAUUGAUAAUACACUGCACAGAUUAAAGUCCCAUAAGAACAGAAUAUGGGUAUAGCAGUGAUCAAUAUGAUGCACGCCUGUUGCGUAGCAAAUGAUGUGGAUUGAAGUCCCGAAAGGACAAUCCUUUGACAUGUCAAUAUUGAUAUUAUGCACGCCUAAUGCGUAGCAAAUUAUAUGGGUUAAAGUCCCAUAAUAUGGGUUAAAGUCCCAGAAAUUAAUUGACAUGUAUGUAUUAAUCUGUUGCAUGCCUGCAGCAUGACAGAUAUAUGGGUGCACGCCUGUUGCGUAGCAAAUGAUAUGGAUUGAAGUCCCAAAAGGACAAUCCUUUGACAUGUCAAUAUUGAUAUUAUGCACGCCUAAUGCGUAGCAAAUUAUAUGGGUUAAAGUCCCAUAAUAUGGGUUAAAGUCCCAGAAAUUAAUUGACAUGUAUGUAUUAAUCUGUUGCAUGCCUGCAGCAUGACAGAUAUAUGGGUGCACGCCUGUUGCGUAGCAAAUGAUAUGGAUUGAAGUCCCGAAAGGACAAUCCUUUGACAUGUCAAUAUUGAUAUUAUGCACGCCUAAUGCGUAGCAAAUUAUAUGGGUUAAAGUCCCAUAAUAUGGGUUAAAGUCCCAGAAAUUAAUUGACAUGUAUGUAUUAAUCUGUGGUAUGCCUGCAGCAUGACAGAUAUAUGGGUUCUAAAUGUUCCAACUCUCUAAAUAGAGAUUUUCCACGCCCUAUGUAAAAUAACGCUCCAAUGGAGGUUAUAAUCCACAUUCUCACAUAAUAAAAGCCUCAUGAAAUGGCUUGGGUACCCAAAAGCAAAGAAAUGCUUAUAAUUGAUGCAUACGCAUGCACAUGAGAAUUGUGAGAUUAUGAAUUGAUGAAUGACAAUUUUUGAUUUUGGAGUAGCUACUCAAAUCAUCAAUGGGCUGUGUUGAUUGGAACCACGUUCAAUUAUUAAAUGUCGACAAUAUCAUUGACCAAAAUGGAAUGAGGUAAUUCCAUUAUAGAUGAGAAUGAACGUGAAAGAACAAACCCACAGUACGAACCCCAAAAGAUGUUAAUACUGAAAUUUAUACUUGGGUGUUCGGAAUAAAAGGGAAUAUACCUACUUUGUAUGACACACUGUUUCUGGCAGAAACAAGGAAUGUUGGGUUUUCUCCAUAUUUACAGAUUCAAUUGUGCCCCCUCUUAUUACACAAUUACGGAGACCAACAUAUUAUCUUUAAGGGUUAUUAAAUGCACGGAGCAUAUCGCCAGAAGCGAUUUCCUAAAGAUAUAUAAAUAGCUGGGUAAAAGCUAUAUAAUGUGUCAUAAAGUUUAAACCCUUUUUAGACAAAAUCCGUUGAGAGGAUUGACAUUGCAUAAAGCAAGUCCCUAAAGGACAUGUGCUUGAAGCACAAAAUUUGUACUCAAUAUUAAUAUACAUAAAUUACCUCAGUGAGUACAUUGAUUAUAAUGUGAUUGCAACACAUUAAAGCUUCUGCAGAGUUCAAGAAAUAUUUGUCUCGACUUAAGGAUCGAGUAUUAUGCCAACGAGAUUCUUGCUUAUACUAAGAAAGUAUUGAAGCAUUUUUAUGAGGAUUAUCCGUUGGACACUUUAAUGAUUUUCCGGAAGUAUAUUGGACCGGACAUCAUAUUUUCCAGAUAGGGCUCAACUCCAUCACCAUCAUUUUGGGAUGAUGUGAGGUAUAUUUGAUGCUAUCUCCGCAUAACACCAUGUACGGGCAUAUUCUUUCAAGUGAACUUACAAAUAGCCCAAGUUUUGUUAGAAACGCGGACUCUGAAAAUUUCUAUGAUUUACAUAGAGAUAGCUCACUGGAAAUAUAUUUACUUACUCAACUACGAGAAUUAUUAAUGGCUAUAUCCUCCACUCACUCCGAAAGAUUCUCACUCCAAAAGAUAGUCAUGAAGACAUCAGGGGGAGAUAUUAAUCAGGGGGAGCAUCCAGAAGUAUGCUAUACAGAUUGCUGUACUCUUUUUUCUUCCUUCCAUCAGUUUUCUACCUCACUGGGUUUUUCUCCAAGCAAGGUUUUAAUGAGGCAACCAAUCUAGGGACAUGUGGUCUCCAAGGGGGAGUGUUGUAAAGAAGGAUAAGUAAAGAAAAAUAGGUGAAGCCCACAUAGCCAACUAACACCCACCAAACCUAACCACACACCCACCAAACCAAACCACUACCCAAUUGAUUGAAGAAUAUUAAUGAUGUUGUUGAUUGAAGAAUAUUAAUGAUGUUGUUGAUUGAAGAAUAUUAAUGAUGUUGUCUACCAAUUAUAUUGUGAGGUGAACAACAAAUGUCUUAGGCCUAUAAAUAGAUACCUCUAUCAAGAGAAGUUUACACACACAUAGAAGAGGAAGAGAAGGAAGAAUGAGGGUGAGUGAGUUGAGAGGAAAGAGAGCAAGAGAGAAAUUCUCCAAGAGAGAAAAUUGAGUGAGCCAUACAUAUUGUAAACACAAAGUUGUAGCCCUAUUAUUUUACAUAGUGGAAAAGUUACUGCUGCUGCUCUCCGGGGAUGUAGGCAUAGCCGAACCUCGUUAAAUACUGUGUCUCAUCUACUUUACGUGCAGCUCAAUAUUCGCACAUAUACCAGUUCAUUUUAUAACAAGUCCUUAAUUCUACAAUAUGCACUCUUUCAAGUCCCUAAAGAAGUCAAAAGGGAUCGAUAGCAUUCAGUCUCUUUUGAGUCUUUUUUAGUAGUAACUUUAUAGGACAUCAAAGUAAUUUAAUAAUCAAAAUUAAAUUCAAUAGGGCCAACUAUUAUUUUUGGGUUUUUUUUUUGUUUAUAGAAAUUAGAUAGUGUAGGGUUUAUCUAUAUCAUUUGUGCUAAAAAUGGGUAUAUUUUUCUUUAGUUCUGUUGUUAAUGGUGGGUAAGUUGGAUGUAGAACUUAAAGUUUUGGGUGGAUUGUUCUACCUCCUUAGGGAUACAAUCCUAUCCAAUAUUCUCUUACCUGGUUGAGUCUGAUGCAAAACUCUUAUGGAUCUUUAUCAUCGCGAUCAUGUCGAAGGUUAUUUGGCAUAUUUACCAGCUUGAUUCAUCACGAAAAGAUUGGACUAGAGUUAAAACUUUGGGGAAGAGAGUAUUGUAAAUUAAAACUUUGGACUAGAUUUUAUUCUUUCAAUAGCAUAGUAAACGUAAAUUGAACCUUCUGAAUUUUUAUAUGAUCAUAUUCAGUCUAUUUUAUUUUUUUUCAGAAAUUCUGGAAUUGUAUUCAUAAUUCAGCCAAAAUAGACACUAGAAAGUUAACCAAGGAAUGGGAGUUAGUGGUGGUUCUACAAUUUGGGUAUCCAACAUAUUUAAUGUUUAAUUUUUUUGAUGCAGAUGAGUAUAACUGUUAUUUUCUUAAAAAAUAAAAACCCAAAUUUUAAGAGGUAUCAAAACUUUUUCGUUGUUGGUUUUUCAUUGCCCACUCAAAAAAAAUCAGCAAAAAAACAUCGCACCUUAUCCAAACGAUCUGAGAACUUGCAGCCAUGUACACUCCUCAACCAAAAUUGAUUAAUUAAUUAUCAAUUAUAUGGUCAUAGUCAAUUUUUAAGUUGAUUCGUAUUGUACUCUCAAUUUUGUGGGCAAAUAUUACUUAAUUAUGCAUGCUAUUUACUGAUUUAAUUCUUUUCAUUUCUUUGUAUUUGUUGGAAUGAAAAGAUUUAUAGGAGUAUAUAACAUAGUUAAGCCAAAUUGCGUGUACUUGUUGAAUUGAUUUGUCAAUUGUGUUUGACAAUUACAAGAUGCAUUGGCAAUUACUCUACUUUAACAAAAGUAAAGAGGAUCCUCUUUUCGAAUUCAUGCAUAUUUAUUGGUGCUUUGACAUAAUACAAUAUUCAUAAGAAAUGAUAUACAAUAUGAAAAUAGAUAAACUUUUGGAAUGGAACCUUCAAGCACGUCGCUGUGUGAUUUUCACAAUUCUACGCCAUCACUUUUUGCCGGCUACUUUCACAAGCCAAUCGGGUGUUCUGUUAGAGAGUACAAGAUAUCCCACAGAUAUUCCAAUUACCACCCCAGAUGCAUACCCCAUCAACAAUACCUUCCAAUUAAAUCCAUUCUCGUGCUCCAAAUCACCAUCUUGUGGCGGUGAUUGAUGUGGACCACAUGUUUUUGCUAGUGGAAUUCCACACAAUCCUACAUUUCCACUAUAUGAAUCAUUUUCAAAUGUAUCAAAUUGCUUACCCUGAGGUAUGGACCCCACAAGUCGAUUUUCUGAAACGUUGAACUUUUCAAGAUAUGUCAAACUUGUCAAUUGCAUCGGAAUAUCACCAACAAGUCUGUUUGAAGAGAGAUCUAACCAUUCAAGAUUGCUCAAACCCCCAAACGAGGGUGGAAUUGUACCUGUAAGCUCAUUAUGAGAAAAGUUAAGCCCCUUCAAUGAUUUAAGCUUACCGAUUACGUUUGGAAUUUCUCCUCUGAAAGUGUUAUUUGAGAAAUCAAUAGUAGUGAAGACAGUUAGGAUCUUCUCCAUUUCAAUUACAUUGCCUUUAAUUGCCACUGCCACAGUAUCCUGAUAGUAGCGCCCUCCCAUAUAUUUCAAUCCAUGUUCUUGCGAGUUUAUCAUGGCCAUCAAAUUUUCAAAAUAUUUUGUUGGCAAGAGACCGCUAAACCGAUUGUUGGAGAGGUCUAUGAUAUGCAAUUUUUGGAAUGGAAACUUAGUUUUUGGAAAGCAUAUUUCACCAGAGAAUUUGUUAGACCUCAAGAUAAGAACCUGCAACUUCGGAAGAGAUUCCAGCCAAUUUGGAAAUGUGUCUUCAAUUUUGUUGUUUCCAAGGUCUAGAACUUCCAACUCUCUACAUGUGAGCAAAGAUUGCGGCAACGACCCUUCCAACUGAUUUCCAUUAAGAUCAAGAUUUCUCAAAACGUUUCCCUCGGAAAAUGUGUCAGGAAUCACACCAUGAAAUUGAUUAUUCCGUAGAUUCAAAACAGAGAGGCUCUGACUGAAAUUCUCUAUGCAUUGAUGAAUUUUGCCACUCAAUUUAUUAUUAGACAAAUCAAGGAUUUGAAGGCUACUCAGGCUGCAGAUCGUUGGAGGUAUCUCUCCAGUAAAUUGAUUAUUUGAUAUGAAAAUGUAAGAAGUGGAAGGUGAUGGAAUUGGAAGCUCUCCUUGGAGAGAAUUGUUGCGAAGGUCAAGAUAGUAAAGAUUUUUCCACCGAAGCGGUCCUACAGUGCCAUUCAAAGAGUUGUGAGAAAGAUCCAAAUAACCCAAUGAAUCUUUCCCCAAAUCCAACAACCAUUUGGGAAUGUUGGCUUGGAUUCGGUUGUGGGAAAGGGAUAAUGUGUGCAAAUUUGGUGCGGCCCUUAGAAAGUAUGGGAACUCACUUAUGUUACAAGACGACAACUCUAGUAACUCAAGUUGAGGCCAGGUGUUGUUUCUCAAAUGGUUGAAGCUCAAGGAUAGAUGAUUAAAGGAAAGAUUAAGCCACCUGAGACUUUGGAGUUUGGAAAACUUUUCAAACUCCACAGUGCCACUCAAGUUAUUGGAUGAUAGACCAAGGUACUGAAGAUUCUCAAGUUCAUAGAUUGAUCUUGGAAUCAGGCCAUCCAGCUUGUUAUUCCUUAAAUCAAGCCAUGACAAAGAACGAGAUUGGAACUCAAUGAUAUUACCGCUGAGUUGGUUACUUCUGAGGUUUAAGUACUCCAAUGAUGGCAAACUACCUAACCAAGAUGGUAUUGUUCCGUUGAGUUGGUUCCCAUCUAAAAAAAGGGUGAUUAACUGUCGAGGAAUAUGACCCACAAGUUGUUGUUUUGAAAAAUCAUAUAAAGAAGAGUUCGAUGUCGAGUUGCUAUACACUUCUGGAAACUGACCGACAUAGUUAUUGCCACCGAGAUUUAAGGAAACAAGGCUCUCAAGGUUUAAAAAGAACGACCAUGGGAUUUGGACACCAAAAUUGUUAGACGAGAGGUCCAACCGCAUGAUUUGUGUGAGGUUACCAAGAAAUGCAAGAUAUGAUCCUACAAAACUGCAAUUGCUGAGAGACAAAUUUCUCAAAGACUUGAAAUUUCUUGUCAGAUGAUGCCAAUCUACUGAGAUUCUUGUAUGAGAGAGAUCCAGCAUCUCAAGGGGACUGCUCCAGUUAGACUCGGGGAAAUAACCUGUGAGGUUAUAGUUGUAGCCUAAAUCUAAGAGUCGAAGAUUUGGUCGGUGGAAAAUGCUUUCUGGGAAUUUUCCUUGCAAGUUGCACAAGGGAAGUUCAAGAGUUUCCAAAGAAGAAGACAGAUUUUUGAAUGAAUCCGGUAUAACUGAUGACAUAUCAACUUCGUUUAGAACAAGCUCCCUAAGAUUAGUCAGGUUUUGAACAAUUCUGUUAAAAUUAAGAGUAUCUAGUCUCAUAUUUGAAAGUGGAUCUUGCGAGAGAUUGAGUGAAACCAAGGUGGAAAGGUGGGAAAUUUCGGAAGGGAUUGGGCCACUGAAAUUGGAGUAAGAGAGGUCAAGGUGAGUCAUACUUACAAAGCCACCAAAUUUGGACGAAAUUGGGGAACCUCUGAAAUCAUUAAAAGAGAGGUCUAGCCUCUUGAGAUGGCCGAGAGAGAAUAAGCUGCUAUUGGAAUGGAUAUUGCCUUGAAGCCCACCAUAACCGAGGUUGAGACCGAUCACAUGACCAGUCAUCUUUUCACAAGUGACUCCACUCCAUGCGCAACAAUCCUUGCCUUUCUGCCAAGAAAUUGCCAAAUUAGAAUAGGAGUAAAGAGAAAAGGAGUUUUUGAAUUGAAGCAAAGCAGAGUUGUCUUCGGGAUGGCAUAAAUGCUUUGAAGAAAGAGAAGAGGAAGAGUUUGAUGAUGAACAAGUAGUAGAGAGCAGGAAGAGGAGGCACAACCAUGACAACCAACCCAUCUUUCUUUAAAAAUCUAAAGUAUAUAGUGAUUGUGAGCAAUUCUAUACUGGAUAUGUUGAUAUUUAUAACAAGCUUAAUGAAUAGUAAUUUAUCAUCUUUAAAGAUAAUCAAGUAUCAUUGUGCCCAUUGUAAUGAUUGGGUGUCCUCUUCACAUAGUUGGUCCUAUUGUCACACCGGUGUAGGUCCCAAUUUGAAGUGCUGAUAAUUGACAUUGAGGGUGAAGGCCUUUUUUUUUUUUUUUUUGGUAAUAUGUUCAUGGAAUUGGAAAAAAUUUGCACCAAGUCUUUGAUUUGUGGCCGGUUUUGGUGAAGUUUGACAAUAAGGUUGUCCCAUUGUCACACAGGUGUAGGUCCCAUUGUUAGCUGCUACAUCAAUUUGAAUUGUUGAUAAUUGACAUUAUUGAGGAUGAAGGCCUAGUCUAUUCAUCUAUUUGGAAAAUUUUUGCCCUAAGUCUUCGAUAUUUGGUUGUUUUUCGUCUUAGUAUGUAACAUUUUUGCGUGUUAAAAUGGGCACCUUAAUUUUCAUUGACUUGCUAAUCUGGGUUUAUAAUUGACCAUCAAAAUCGUUCUUGUCUUCACUAGUAGUCACUAGUGACUUUUGCCCCCUUCUUCACGCUCUCACUAAUUCUUAUCAUCUGCUUCUCCAUGGUUUUGCUUGUCUUUUCACAUAGUUGGGUGUCCUGCAACAUGUACUAAUCAAGUGGUCCAAAUAUGAUUCGAAUUUGCGUAUUGAAGAAGCCGGACCGAGUAUUCAUAAAUCGACCAUCAAAAUCGUUCUUGACUUUUGCCCCUUUAUUCACGCUCUCAUUAAUUCUUCAUGAUUUUACUUGUCUUUGCACUUUCUGUCUCCACUCUUAAGCAUUUGAUAGGCCUUAGGCCUUUAGUCCAAUCUCUAAAUGAACAUUCAGAACAAAUUCAUAAACAAAAAUUUCUUUUAAAUUUUCAUUUAUGAAAAUCCAUUAUAUUCCUCUAGGGCUAAAGAAAAGAAAGGAGUUAAUAAAUAAAGUCAUCAAUAUAAAAAUUAAAACAAUCUUUUAGAUAAAAUCUAAAUAAUAUAGUAAUUAAAUCCUAUAUAAAGCUAGCUACUACAACCUCUCGGCCACAGUUUCUUUGAAUCUUACUCAAUCUUUCACAUUUUCUUUGAUGGUCUCUCUCACAUUAACAUGCUAGAGUUUCUUGUGCCUUUCAUUCAUCAGCUGCCAAAUUCCUAAACAUGUAUAAUUACUAACUUCGAAGAAGAAAUUACAGCACUAAAACAUGUUAAUGUUACAUUAAUUUCAUUACCUCAUUGAACGUUUCCGCAACGUUGUUUGCCAUGAGGUAUGGACCCUACAAGUUGGUUUUCCGCAACGUUAAAUUUUCAGGUGUUGUCAAAUCUGUCAAUUGCCCAGAAAUCUCACCAACAAGCAUGUUUGAAGAGAGAUCUAACCAUUCAAGAUUGCUAAGAUUGCCGAAUGAGGGUGGAAUUGGACCUGUAAGAUCAUUAUGAGACAAGUUAAGUCCCUUCAAUGACGUUUUAGGAAGGUCCAGAGAAAGUUGUUCUACUUCUUUUUGGAUUCGAGUAUUUAUUAACCUUAGUUGUAUAGUUAGGAGUUCAUUAUUAAAGAAAUAUAUACAACAAUUAAUUUGUGUAAGUACCAUGUAAUUUGAAUUUGGAAAGAGUUGGCAAAGCCUACAGCAUAAGAGGAGCAAGGGAAAACAUGAGUCUCAAUAUGGUGACCUCAAAGUAAUCUUCAUUUUAACAUGAGUCUCAAUAUGUCGGCAGACAUUAUACUUGGUGCGUUGGUGAUUGAAUAAUGUUUUGCAUAUUAUUCUUUCUCUUCUUUGGCUAUUUAAUCAGGCAAGUAGGGCAUGAGAAAAGGUGGAACAACUUCAACGUUAUUACUUCCACAUGAAGUGUUUAUCACUCUAGCGUGGGAUUGGGGCAGGGGAGAAAGGGGUAGAGAGAGAUGUCUCUUUUUUCUCUCUUUUAUUUUCUUAAAAAUGAAAAGACUAAAAUACCCUUUAAAAUGGAUGAAAAAUUGAAUUUUGUAAAAUAAAGGUGACAUUUCUCUUAAAUUUUUCUUUAAGAUGACAAAUUGAAACUGAGGUACAAGUUCAGAUGACAUUUCUACAAAAAAAAUCACUAAUGCUAAUCACUAUUAAGAAUUGUGCAAUCACAAAAUAAUUUAAGAAUCAUCUAUUAUAUACAUCAAUUAACAAUUAUAAAAUAGAACUAAUGCUUAUUUACUGUAGUGCCCCCUGAAGCAUAUACGAAGCCAUGUUUGGGGCUUGGAUAAGAAAUAACUUCUGCUAAAAUAAAUAAAUAAUAAUAAUAAAUAAAAAAACCCAAUAGCGAACUCCCACCCACACCCAAUCCGUCAACAACCCCACCCUGAUCACAUAGCCCCCUCUUCUGCUCGUCGUCGGAAACUCUCUUUCUCCCCCUUGAUUUUAGAUCAAGAUCUAUAUUCUUCCCCUGCUCUUCUUCUUUGAAAGAGAGGGAGAUCGAGAAGGAAGCAGAGAAAUCAAGGGAGAGAGAGAGAGGAAGAGACAAAGAAGGGGGACAGAGGUAGAGAAAAGGAGGCUUUGCCGGCGGUGAGAAUGAGAGGGGUUUGCUGUUGGCUCGAUAGGGUGGGUGGGAGUUUUGGUGGCCGUCUGGUUUGGGGUGGUGGGAGGGAGUUUGCUCAUGGGUCUUUAUUUUUUUUCCUUCGGUUAUUUUUAAUUAUUAGAAUAUUGUUAUAAAAAUAACCUGGAAUAUGUAUGAAUAUUGAGCUGCACGUAAAGUAGAUGAGACACAGCAUUUAACGAGGUUCGGCUAUGCCUACGUCCUCGGAGAGCAGCAGCAGUAACUUUUUCACUAUAUAAAAUAAUAGGGCUACAACUUUAGAGUUUACAAUAUGUGUGGCUCACUAAUUUUUCUCUCUUGGAGAAAUUUCUCUCCACUCUAUUUUUCUCUCUACUUACUCACCCUCUUUCUUUCCUUCUCUUCCUUUCUUUCUUUCCUCACUCAUUCUUCUCUUCAUUUUGGUGUGUAUUACAAGUGAAUGAGCAAGCCUAUUUAUAGGCUAAGGUUUUGGUAAAAUACAGGGAAGGGAAGGUUCCUGGAAGAUGCAAGGAAACUUCCUGAAUUGAUAAAUACAGGGAAGGAAAGUUCCUGGAAGAUGCAAGGAAACUUCCUCUGUGGGCUCCACCUUCAAACUUUUACAACAAAUAUUUAAUUAUAUGUUUUAUCUAUGGAGUCAACUUACCAUGUCACCCACUCAAUUAGUUUAAUAAUUUAUGUGUAUAAAAUUACAAAAACACUCAUGCCACGUCAUCAGAUUUAACAGAGUUUUGAAUAGAGUUAGCGGCAGGGCAAAGUAGGUCACCAGACUUUGGUCAAAGGAUAAAAGUGGGUCAUUUUAACUUUAAAGAGGUAAAGUGAAAUUUGACCAAAGUUUUAAGGGACGAUACAGUAAAUAAGCCUUUAUUUUACCUCCGCCUUUACAAUCUUUCUUCUCAUGCGCUUCUGUACGGCUUUGGUUAUCUUUCCACUAUCUGCCCCUACCCUUGAGCAUUUGGUAGGCCUUAGUCCUUUAGUCCAAUCUGUAAACGAACUUUCAGAGAAAAUUCAUAAACGAAAAACAUAAAGAAAAAAAAGAAGGUACCAACUUUUCUUUGUAGUAAAAGAUGGAACAACUGCAACAUUAUGAAUGGCAAUAAAAAAGAAGGUAAAGGGUAUUCGAUCGAUUCACCAGAUUCCAUUUGAUCCAUAAAAUGAUGGGAAACCUGCUACAACAGUACUUUUCUAUGUUUCUUCUUUUUGUUUUUUGUUGGUACAGUACAACGUUUCCCAGACUACAUAGAAUCACAACAUUGGCCUUUUAAUAAUCCAACGUUACUUAUACUUACUUGACGGACCAUGAAACAAUAAGUGAAUACAAAGGUAUUACACUGCAAUGAAAUUGGGACUAUAUCUAUGUUAUCUGUAUUCUUGAAAGUUGACAUGCCCUGCGCUCGUGCAUGCUCCACAGCCUCAUGGUAUUAGGGCAUAAUUUUGGUAUACCUGAGCUAUACGAGUAGUAGGAGCACAAAAUGGAACCAAGAGCGACGAAACACAUAUUACCUCAAGCAUUUUGAUAACAUAGUAGGCAAAACAUGGGAAAAAAGUUCAAACAAAAUUAAUCUUUUUAUCCCCUUUUUUUCUAUUGGAUAGGCAUUGAUUGAAAACUUUACAUACAGACUAAACACAUUAGAAAUGUCCUAUAGUUCUCAAUCAUCUCAAGUCGAGAACAAAUUUAUUUUGAAAUUCAUACACCAGAUUUUGCAUGCACGGAGUAAUAAGCGUGCACUGUUAGUACUAUUCAGGUUCAACAACUAGGAUGCCCUCAGUACAUAGAGAUCUGGAAAAAAAUUUCAAGACAGUGUACUAGAACUUAAAAAUAUAUUGUCUCUUCAACUUGUAUAGGUUUGUAAACUAGGUUGGUCGAUGUAUAGUGAACUAGAAAACUUCUGCACACUGAACUACAUGUUUAGAGUGGAAGUAUCAGAAAUAAUCCCCUAAAUCACAUGCUCUGUAUUUUUAUCAUCUCAACAUGCUAAUUCCAGACUAAAAGCCCAAGGAACAUUUAAUGUUUUCACAUAUUAUGUGUAGUAGUGUUUGUAUGUGCACUAUGGAUAGAAGCCACCAUGAAACCAUAAGCACUACCUUUGUUCCUUUUUCACAAGAUUAAGAGCGAGCCCCUCAACCGGCCCAAUGGCACUGUCCUUAACUGCAAAUAUAGUCUGAUCAAACUCCUCUGGAGCUCCUCAAAGGGUGACAUCUGAGACAAUAUGAUGCAGAAACCAAUGACCAUUAACUGGGAAAAUUGAACCUCAAUCAGAAACAGAGGAGAGCAAAUGUCCAGAAAUAAAAUAGCUUAAAUAUCAGUAACUAUCUUUGUUUUAACAUAUAUUGAAAAUUAAUUCACAUCAAUUAUAAAUCAUGAAAAAGUACAACUCGAAAAGAGCAAAAGCCAAGACCUACGAGGCAAAGUCUCUCAGCACAUAGGUAAAGAGAGCAUGGGAAAAAGGAAAGAUUCAAUAGCCAUUGAGCAGUCUGUGUUGUUGUGAAAGAGAUUAACAUUAGAUUUGUUAGGGAGAUACAGAGGUGUGGCUCUCAGGCGAUUUGAGUCCUAUGUGCUUACAUGUUUGGCGUUAAAAACUCAAAAAACAUAGGAGAACUUGGUUGGGUGUUGAAAAUUGGGAUUUAUUUAAGGGCAUUUUGGAAAAACAAGGAAACCACAUAUUUCCAAAAAAUUGGCCCUACUUGAGGCCAUAGUGAAGCCACUUCUUAAUUAUCCGUCCACACUGAUAACCAGUAAAAUUCAUAAACAGAAAAUUAACAUAAAUCAUCAGAACCACAUACAGCUAAAGCAUCGUAAUGAAGCCCAUCAUAGAUCAGCAGAGCUCUUGUCAAAAGUACCCCAUACGAAAAUGGGCAUAAACAUUCUGAAAUGGAACUGACAAGAUUAAUAUACAUGAGAACUCACUACUAAUGCUAUUUCUUGAACAGUCAAUCUUAUAGACAAGUGGCUACACAAACUAUUUCUUGAACAGUAAAGGUGCAAAAAGUUUGUCAAAUAUAUCAACAAUGUGCAAUACUGUCAAAGAAGACAUAAGUCAGUAUUGUAUAAUUAAGGUUCGGAUACUUAGUUGGCUAUCAGAAAUAACCAAAAUUUUCACAAGAAAAGCUUUUCAUUGUGCAUUUUGUUUCAUAACCAAUAUUCAUAUACGUAGGAAAAGGAAAGUUUAUUUAUUUUUAACAAACCUCCCCACUUCUCAGAGUCAAGAAUCCAAGAACAAUACUCUUCAUUUGGUUUACCGAGAAAUGCUUCAGAAUACUUAGUUGGAUCACUUGCUACUGUUGCUGCUAUAACCUUCACAUCAUGGAUGACCACAAAAUGAUCAGGAAGUAAGUAUCGCACUUAUGCAUGCUUAAUACAAACAUGGAGCUAUAUAUGCACAAAAACUGACCUUAAAUGACUGGUGUACUUAUAAUCCCUGAAUGUCCAUAUACCUGUCUCAACUCAGGAGCUUUUUUCUUGUCAUGGUCGAUAGCAUACCUACAAAUGAAGGGUGACUAUUGAAUAGAAAAAUUGGCCUUAAAUGACGCAGCUCAGUUCAUUGCAAUAGACAAUGGAUAGAAUAGAAGGUUGUAUUGGAGCUUACCCAACCGCAUUGAAGAGGCAACUAUUGUCUGAGGGAAUAGCCCUUCUUACUACAAUACCUUCCAUAUUAUAAAUAUUUAUACCUGAAACAUUUUAACAAUUUGAAUGUUUCAAACGAUGAUGGUUUUAUAAUAGACAAGCACAAGCCAAAGAGCUGAGAGAAGGAAACACAUGAAUAUUUAAUUCAAAAAUAUGGACCCAAAAAGCAUUGAACUGCAUAGAAGUGGUUUGUGUGAAGAAGGAACCUUUUGUGAUUACAAUGGAAAGGAGAACAAAGAUUAUUAAGAUACAAAAAAAGAUAGGAGUCCAAUCAAAAGUAAACAUCUACAGAUAAAGAAAAGAAUUACACAUAAAAACUUCCUUAAGACUGAAUCCUAAAGUUACAGAAGUAUGAGACAAUACGAAAAGAAGGCUGAGGACUCAAACAAAACCCAACAUCACAGACUCAGCAGCAGAGCCAAAUACCAACCAGAACCAGAUUCAGUUACUGGUAGCAGCAGGCCAUGAUUGAAAACAUUCAAAGAAAAGGAACAAAUAUAAUAUAGUGUACAGAAAUGAAAUUUUACAAAUUUUUAUCAGGAAUGAAUCUGAAAUUAAUGAAAAAAAAAGGAACUUUAAAGAAUCCGUACUCUUAUCAGUUCUUUAAGGUGCCAAUAAAUGAACCUAAUAUGUCAAAAGCCUACCCAGAAAACCACCCAGUAAUGUGCACCCAUAAACAAAACACAUUAUCGAAAUAAAUCCUCAAAUAAUUCCACAAAGGAAACCAAACUUCAGACUUAGAAACCCAAUACCAAAGCUAUAAAACAAACCCAGAGCUGAAUUUGAAACCACCCAAAAGCAUAAAUUGAAAAAGAUGACAAAUAAAUAAUGUGGCAAUGAAAUUUCCAGAUCCAGUAAAAGUAUUCGUACCACGAGCAGCAUAUUCAAAUAGACAUGAUACAAUUUGGAAGAGAAGAGGAAAACAGAUAAGAAAAAGAACUCACUCUGUUUCUUCCUUUAUGGUCUAUAAGGUAAUGUUAGUUGAGCAAAAACUUUGACGAGGAGGUGGUGGUCGCCUGCCUGGUUUUGGCUAUCGCUUCUGUGUUUGGAUGUCGUCUUCCUUUUCUUUUUUUUCCCUUCUUUUUAUCAUUGGGGAGGGUGGAGUUACAAGUUCAAGCAUUAAUGUGGGGUCCAUGGUCUAUCUUGUGUUACGGCUUUCUGCAACUUUCUCUGUUACACUCGAUCCUCUCGGCAGUGUCUUUCACCCAAUCAUUCUAUUUACGAUAACGUAUCAUGUUAUGGGUGAUUAGAUUAUUACAAUGACUAAAAUUAAGUAAAAUACGAGAAAAUGUGUAGAUUACGUUAGAUUAUUAUUAUGACUAAAAUUAAGCGAAAUACAAGAAAAUAAAUAGAUUAUAAAUAUAGAGGAUCGGGAUCAAUGUCACAUUGGUUCUUCUGUUUGACCUCUUUGGAAAAUUUAGUUCGUGUUUUUCAAUUUACUUAUUGUAUUUAUAGUUUUUUUUUAUUGAUUUAAAAAAUAUUCAUUAACCUGUAAUAGAAAAGUUAACAGAAAAUUAUAAAAUAAAAAAAGAACAUAAUUAAUUAAAAAGUAUUAAAAAGUAAAAGGGAGUGUAAGUAGAGAGAAAAUGAGUGGGAAAAUCAACUCCCAAUAUAUACAACUAAUAAAAUACUUUUGACAUUUUACCCCAUACCCAGUACAAAUAUACAUUUAAUUAAGAGUGCUGCUAUUUUCACCAUUUUUUUCUAUUUCCUUAGAAAUUAUUGUAAAAUUUCUCCAAUUUCCCCACCCACAUCACCUUUCCACCCACCAUGUAACUUUGAAAAAAUACAAUCUUAUAUUUCCACCCACCAUUAUUCCUAAAAUACCUUUUAAUUAUUAAUUCAAACAAAUUCUCUUUCAUUUGAUUUUUCUCAUAAUUAAAACAUGGGAGUUAUAUUUUCUUUACGUUCUAUUCUUUUGAUUGAUUUUUCUUGUGUGUUUUGUCACUGUAGAGUGAAUUUUUUUUUUUCCUGUAUUCAUUUAACUGUCGAAUAAUUUUUUUAGUGGUUGGGUUUGUUUAAGUUGAGUUUGAUUAUAGGUUUAAAUGAUGCAAAAUCAAAAUAACUUGUUACAAUAAUAGGUACAUGUGUGAACCGAAGUGUCUAUGGUUGUUCUAUAUUGUCUUGUUCAUAUUUGCGGGAUUGAACAUUAGGGAUUGCCAAGAACUGUUAAUCAUAUGGGAAAGAGAAGAAAUACUUUUUUAUUGGGAAAAGACAUGGCUUCAUUAAUAUGAAAAAAAGAGCUGCAGUUGGUCUGUUAAGGAAUUUUUUUUUUCUUUUUAAAUUCUUAUGAAAUUGAGUUUUUAUAGCCUUAACUCUUAAAAAGUCACUUUACAAAGGGGUAAAUUUGUUUAUAAAAUUUUAAAGAUAAAGUAAGUGGGGAAAUAAGACAACAGAUGGAAAUAACAUCACUCCUAAUUAAUAGAACUAAUAUGUUAAUUCAAUAAUCAUUCAUAUAAAAUUAAUUAAAUAUAUUACUUUAAUUGUCGUGUUCUUGUCUUAUCGUAUUCUAGUUUUUUGAUAUUUGACGUAUCAUACUUUAUCAUAUCAACAUACCCGUAUUCAUAUCCGUACAACAUAGGUUGAGUGUGAGUUAAUUGAUUUUUUUAAAGUUUUUUAUGGAUGUCAGGAAGACGACUGCAUAAUCAAUCAAGUUGGGAGACCUGGUGCUAAAAGAUUGUAUGUUCUUGCAAAGUUCUUACCAAGGUGAGUUAUACUGUGAAAACUCACUUCCAGAUCUUGAGAGAACCACACUCAAAUGCAUGAUAAUAUGCAAAUUACCUUAGCAUAUAGAGAGUACCUUACAAUUACCUUCUGGCUAGCGGAAAGCCAGUCAAGCAAGGAGAAACUCAAUGGCGAAUCAAGCAAGGAGGAGCUUAAUGACAGUUAAUGGUGAAUUGCAAUAUCCUUGUUAAAAAGGUUGACCACUUGCAAUACCAGAGAAAACUUACUCUCUCGAAAGCAUGAUACCUAAGGAAAGGAGAGAAUUGAUUGCUUCUAGUUCUAAUUCCAUAGGUACCAGAGAAGUGUCUCCACAUGAAAAUAUUGGAUACAACCGAUUUCAUGUUGCAAGAGGUAAUUUUUAAUACUAGUUUUAAAUUGGAUUGAUAUCUCCUUUCCUCUUUUUUUUUCUUUUUUUUUUUCAAUACAAGCUCUUUAUAUCUAAUUUGCUUUUUAAAAUUUCUUAUUGUAGAUAAGUACUAUCUUGUGAAUGCGGGUUAUACUAAUGGACCGGGGUUUUUAGCACCCACUACUACAAAAAGUGAAAAAGACGACCAGAAAACAACGACGGUCUAAGUGAAAACCGUCGUGGUUUUUAAAAAGACGACGGUUCUAAAAACACCGUCGUGUAAUACCACCUUAGACAACUAAAAAUGGAGAUUCAAAUGGCUGUUCAAAAACAACGACGUACCUAAUUAAACAACCGACGUCUAUUUGAAAAAAAUUUCCGCAGUGUAAAAUCAAAGCCAACAAAGAACGGCAGAAGUUAUGAAUCGACCGACGUAGAAAGUAAAGACGACGAUUUCAAUAAAAGCCGCCGUUUUUACUCAUAAAAUAACACGACGAGGUUUUCGUAUAAGACGCCGUAUAAUUACAAACAAAUCCACGGCUUUAAAAUACAAAAUAUCGCCGUAUUAAAUUAAUGUACAACGACGGAAAAUAUAAAUAUAUCGACGUCAUUCUUGUAUAGUUCUACGACGUUAUCUUUAAAUCGUACUAUAAAAUUUAACGUCGUAUUUAUUCAUUUUAUACGUCGUACCUUUAAUUUAAACCGUCGUCUUAAUAAGAAUUUUUGUUAACAAUUUUUUCCUUUAUUUUCUUAUCCUACGUCGGUAGAUCUACUUAAUGACAAGAAUUGAAAUCUGUCAUCCAAAAAAAAAACUUUACAUAUUCCAGAACAUUAAUUUCCUUCAUUUUAAAUUUCCUCCGGAAAAAAAACUCUAUUUAUAACGCACUGUAAUUGAAAAAUAAACUGAAAGGUCACGGGAAAAAAAAUUCUAUUCAUAAUUUAAAAAUUCAAAUCCACGUCGGUUAUAUUAAACCUAACGACGUUAAAUGAAAAGAUUCCACGUCGCAAAACAAAUAUUGCGUCGUGUUAGUUUAGGGUUUCUUUAACAGUUUCAGUUUCUUUAACAGUUUGGUCCUUUAUCUUUCUGCAGGACUUGUAUAGUUCAAAGCAUUGACAAUGUCUUCAUCAUAUCUCCCAGCAACUACUGAUUCGAUUGCUCUACGGAUAAAGGAAAUGGAGCAUUCAGGUGCAAACUAGCACAAGCAAUGGCCUACUGAAGCUGGAAACUACUUGUUUGUUCCACUCGGACCCAGAGCAGAGCAACCUGCUAAGCUUUAACAUAAUGCGCGAGGAUGAUCGUGAAAAAUGAAAUGGAGCAUUCAAUUGCUUUAGAGGCCAUCUGAAGCCAUUUCUAUUCUUUAUCGCAUUCUUCUGAAGCUCUACGGAUAAAGGAAGAGGCUAUCACAAAUCUGACGGAUCUUCUUAGCCAAGAAAAUCAAGCAGAGGAUCAGGCACAUCUGAUCUUCAGAUUUCCCUGAGAAGCGAACUUUCCUUCGACAGCGAGUGGAGGCCAGGCUUGCAUCUCUUUUGAUGGAAAGCAAGGAGUAUUCAGAAGCACUAAGUGUCCUGUCAGGCUUGAUCAAGGAAGUGAGAAGGCUAGUUGACAAGCUUCUUCUUGUGGACAUAGAUUUGAUGCGAGUAAGCUCAAUUUCUCUUUGAGUAAGCCUAAAUUAUUGUCUUUGAGAUGUGAGAGACAGUGUCUCUGAGAGAGGAAGAACUUGGAACCUUAAAUGUAAACCGAAAAUGAAUGAAAGCGACAAAUUUAAAAUUAAAAUUCCGAAACAUAAUAGAAUUUCACCUAAAAAUAAAAACAAGUACAACACCAUACGUAUGCCCGGAAUAAUUCGAACCCUUCAUUGAAGCCAUGGCCAUAAUUUUCUUCCAUUUUUACUUUUACUUUUACUUCAUUGGAUUCCUUUAUCCUCAUUCAAUAAUGUUUUGAACUUUUGCCCACCUCCACUUGUAUUCUUUAAUUAUUUUCUAAACCCCUUCAUUCCCUAUUGUCUUGUUUCAAUCAUGUUCUGAACCAUUGCUCAACUUUGUCCAUCUCACUUUAUUGGAUUCCCUUAUCUUUCCUUAUCUUUUCCUAUCUUCAUUCAAUUAUUUUCUGAACCAUUGCUCAUUUUUGUUCAUCUCACUUUAUUGGAUUCCCUUAUCUUUCCCUAUCUUUUCCUAUCUUGAUUCAAUUAUUUUCAAACAUGUAGGUCAUCUCAUUCUCUUGUCUAUUUAAGAAGUGUUAUUCUACUAAAUUGACCACACAAUCUCCUUCAAUUCUCCUUCUUACAAUGAAUUCACGUGGGAAGCCUAUACAAAAUUUCUUCAAUGGUGAUUCUGAUGAUGAUGACCUUCAUCAACAGAGGGUUGCAAUGGCUGUUCGACACCAUAUGUUUUUGCUGCACCAAUAUGCUCAACAAUCCAAACAUGAUGGUUCUGUUGCAGGCCGUGAAUACAAGAAUCGGAAGAGAGAAAAAUAUCAUAAGAGUCUCAUGGAGGACUACUUCUGUGAAAGACCACUUAAUCCCCCAGUGGACUAUCACAGGCCGUUCCGCAUGAAAAGAGAGCUUUUCAAUCGCAUCUUGAAUGAUGUUGUUGCACAUGAGCCAUACUUUAUCCAGAAGAUAGACACUUGUGGACGACAAAGUCUAUCCCCAUAGCAGAAGCCAACAACUGUUUUUCGAAUGCUCGUAUAUGGAUGCUCGGCAGACUCCACCGAUGAGUACUGUAGAUUGGGUGAAUCUACAGCCCUUGAAUAUUUGCGAAAGUUUUGUUCCGUUAUUGAAGCUGUGUAUGGUCAGUGAUACAUCCGUUCCCCAAAUCCGGUCGAUCUUUACAGGCUCUUGCACAAGGCUAGUCACAGAGGAUUCCCAAGCAUGUUAGGUAGUCUUGACUACAUGCAUUGGGAAUAGAAUAACUGCCCCACUGCUUGGGCAGGCCAGUUUACCGGCUACAAGCAUAAGCCAACUGUCGUUCUAAAGGCAGUGGCCUCAUAUGACACUUGGAUAUGGCAUGCCUUUUUUGGAGUUGCCGGAUCGAACAAUGAUAUCAACAUCCUAACUCGUUCCCCGUUGUUCAAUGAUGUAGUCAAUAGGAAUGAAUACAAUCUGGGUUAUUACUUGGCUGAUGGUAUCUACCCUCGUUGGGCUACAUUGGUUAAGACGAUUUCCCAACUGGAUACUCCAAAAAAAAAGACUAUUUGCCCAAAAAUAAGAGGCUUAUAGGUAGGAUGUAGAGCCUUCGGAAUACUUCAGGCUCAAUGGGCAAUUGUUAGGGGACCUACACGUAUGUGGCGCAAAGAGGAACUUCAUUCAAUCAUGAUGACGUGCAUAAUAUUGCACAACAUGAUUGUUGAGGAUGAGUAUGAUGAUCUAGAUGUAGAAUUUGAUGACGAAGAAAAUUGUCCACGAACAUAUAGAAGAGCAAGAGCAAGACUGGCUUAUGAGCUUGAGCCAACUAUCACAUACGAUAUAAACCGAGACAGACAAACUAUCUCAGACUACUUGGUCUGUCAUAAUAGACUUCAUGCUUCGUAAGUGCAUCACAAUCUAAGAAAUGAUUUGAUCAACCACAUUUGGAGAUGUGAAGGAGAGGGGCAAUGAGCUAUGUUGUGUGUUUAAAUUAUGUUGUGUGUUUAAAUUAUGUAAGUGUGUUUAAAUAAUCUAAGCGUGUUUAAAUUAUGUUGUGUGUUUAAAUUAUGAAUUAUAUGGUUUAUCAUUGAAUUUAAAAAAAGACUAAUCAUAGAAAAAUAAACAACAAUCAUUAUAAAAAAAAAAAAAAAAAAAGAUAAACGAUAAUUAUAAAUAAAGAUAAACAACAAUUACAAAUAAAGAUAAACGAUAAAAAUAAAGAUAAACAAGAAUUGCAAAUAAAGAUAAACGACAAUUAUAAAUAAAGAUAAACAACAAUUACAAAUAAACGUAAAUUAAUAACCGCUAUGUGGAGGGCUUAGAUAAUAGUCUCCAGAGUUGUCUUCUGGAUUGUAGGGGGAACUUGUAUUCAUCUGGGCCUCAAUAAUUUCGUCUUUAUUAUUCCCCCAAUACUUUUUCUUUCUUGGAGUAAAUUUGGAUAGGCCCAUGGACAUUAUCCUUUGUUCAUUGGCCUCCUUAUUUUGUUGGAUUUGAUAUGCAUGUUGCUCUUAUAGGAGCUCUAACUUUCGCCUCCUAUCCUCUUUUGCCUCAUUUCCUUGUUGAACCAAUUUAGACAAGAACUUACCACUUUAGUUGAGAUAACUUUCAACACCUUUCCCUUUCUUUUUUUCAUCCUUUUGUUUAUCUCUUCCCAACGGCCUUGGAGUGGGCAUGACCACAUCAUCUUCAUCUUCCUCCAAAUUGACUGUAUUGCCACUAUGAGAAGAAUCUUUGAAUGUUUGUGUAGGAGAUUCACAUAGGUCGUUCCAUUUUGGGCAAUCUUUUAAGAUUUGCCAAGCAUGAUACAACUUGAAAGGCAUAUUCGGAGGUUUAUUAUCAUUCAAGAAAAGUAUUUUUGCAUUCAUAUCCUACCCAUGAAAUAAAACAAAAAUCAAGUUAAUAAUUGAAAACAAUUAAAAUUAUAAAUUUAAGCAUUGAAAAAAAAUGGGUACUCACCACAUCUUCAAGAUUGGAGCCACUCAUAUGCCUUGCAUUAGCCUUUGUUAUACAUGCCUUCCAAAGAGAACAUUGUUGGUUGAUGAUCUUGAACAGAGAAACAAUAGCUUGCGGUGAUCGUACCCCGGCUCCGCUCAUGCCCGGAUCAUUUUCCAAAAACUUUUGGUACAUACGCAACCAAAAUGAGUCGUUUGAUUGAUUCGUGUCAAUAGACCCAUCUUCAAAGACAAAAACCCACCCUUUGCACAAUGCCUCAUCUUCUUGUGGUUUCCAAUUCACACCUCUUUGGGGUUUGGGGGCCAUUCUCAAUAAGAAUGAAUGUAGAAUGAAAAAUUAUAACAAAGGGAGAAAGGAAAACAAAAAAGAUUUUUGGUGGAUUAUUUACCAAAUGAAUGGCUAUUUAUAGAGUUUGGAAUAAGUUUUCGGGUUGGAUCUGACUUAGAUUAAUUAUAAAUAUUAUUUUGACCGUUUGAUUUAAAUUUGAGCCAUUGGAUGUGAAAUUUUACCGUUGGGAUUGCCUAAAAUGAAUCAUAAUCGUUGAUUUUAUAGCUGUUGGAAUAUAUAAAAAAAAAAAAAAAACAGCAUAUCAGAUUAUUUGAAAAAGUAGCCGUUGGCCAUCAUUAAAUGAAAUGGGAAUCUGCUUUUUCGCAUUUGUCAGCAGGCCCAGCCAAUUUGGCCAUCACGUGGGCUUCCAGCCGAAAUAUAAAAAAAACAAAAUUAAAGCAUAUUUUGGGCCCACAAAAUUAUCAGUCCAUGCAGAAAUCAGACUAGAAUUCCACCCCAAUUUUGAGAUUUCUCAAAUUUUCACCCCCAAAAAUACAUUGGAGAAGAUUUUUGGACUCAAAACUCAAAAUUUGAGUUUCCACCCCUUGGGUUGGAGAUGGUCUAAGGACGUCACCUAUGCUGACGGAGUUUUCUAUUGUGUUUUUAUGUAAGGUAUGUCGUUAAUGGUGGGUAAGUUGGAUGUAGACUUUAAGAAUGGGUGGAUUGUUCAAUCUCCUUAGGGAUACAAUCUUAUCCAAUAUUCUCUUACCUGGUUGAGUCUGAUGGGAAACUCUUAUUGGCACUUUAUCAUCGCGAUCAUGUCGAAGGUUAUUGGUAUAUUUACCAACUUGAUUAUGUAAGUGUAUGCAUUUUGAGUUUUUCUUUUGGCUUCUCUUGACAAUAUUGUAAGAGGACAUAUAUUGUAAUCACCCAAACUCAAGUUUAGUUUAAGAAUAGUUUCUCUAAGUGUUCUUAUCUGGCUGCUAUCUUAUGGAAGAUCAAUCAUAUUGACAAAGGUAAUUUGUGCAUUGCAUCAUAUUGCAUUCAUUAGAUUUCUUAAGAUUAUGACUAGUCAUCUUGUUUUCGUAUGACUAGUCAUUUUUUGCAUCAGUAAGUUUUCCAGUUGGAUCCUACCAAACCUUUUUGUCUUAUUCUACGAAUUUUCUCAGUUGCCAUGUGUACUAUUCUGACCUGGGAAUUUUUUGGUAAAAGCCAAAUGAUUCCUCAUUUGGUAGGGGUCAAUUUUGAGGUGAGGUUUUGAAAAGGUUUCUCUAUUCUUUUGCUUCUUCUUCUUCCUUAAGAGAAAACCACCAUUUUCAUCUAUGAGUUUUCUAAAUUAAUUUUCAAAAAUUGCUUUUGAAAUAUUAAAUCUGCAUCUAUUUAGAACAAACACAUUCUCUAUACAUCUAUGUCAGAUUCAAGAUUGGUUUCUUCAAGAGUAUGGUUUCUUGAUGAAAUUGGUAUUUUCUCCUUGAAUUCAAAUUGUUGGUUUCUGUUCGAGUUUGAGCUGGCUAGUUGGUGCCAUGGGAUGAAAAAGCUGAAGAAUGAGCUGUUAUUGCCAUACAGGACUAAACUACUAGCUUUGCUAAGUUGGAGAAAAAGAUUGCACAAAGGAGGUAUAGCUUAUCUUCCUAAAUAGAUCUAGGAUCUCUUGAGCUUGCUUGUAUUUGUUUGUAAGAUAUGACUUUAAUCAAAAUAGGGAGAAACUCUAUAACUUAUUUUUUAGAUAAAUAAUAUUUGUCAAAGUUUGUUAGAACCUCAUUAGCAAGUUCAAUUGUCACAUUCCCAUUUUUCCUUUAUCCACCCUGUCGUUUACUUUUAAUUUUUAGAACUAAAAAUUUGCAAAACAAGAUUUUAAUCUGAUACUAUACUCCUUCAAUACAAGAUUUUAAGUUAGAGAAAAGAAAAGGGUGAGUUGAGGAUUAGAGAGUUAGCCAAAGAGUGGGAGUUAGGUGGUGGUUCUACAAUUUGGGUAUCCAACAUAUUUAAUGUUUAUUUUAUUUUUUUUAUACAGAUGAGUAUGACUGUUAUUUUCUUAAAAAAUAAAAAGAAAAAUUUUAUGUUGAAGCAUAACAUUGAAUAAAACGUCCCCACUCGAACUUCAUGGAAAAUGUAUUAAGGGUAGGAAAAAAAAAUUAUCUUAGCCAGAAAAGAAUCUUUUCCAUGACUGCCAAGGGAGAAAUCCACCUGGAAAAAAAAUUUACGAAGAAUGUGAAUUAACUUGACCAAAAAAAAAAAAAAAAAACCGAGGGGUUCAAUCCAGAAAAAUUAUAAAUAAUAAUGAGAAACAGAUUUUUUCAGCCCUUUGAAAGCAUAUGAUCUGAACACAUACCACAUCCAGGACAUUUGACGUAGUCUUCUUUGGUCAAAACAAGCCCUGACCCUCCACAUACCUCACAUCUUUUCUGUGCUAUCUAAUAUAUAUAUAUGCAUAAUCAUCAAUACCAUAUAUUAUCCCUGACAAAAAUAAAUGAUUAAUUAUGAACUCUGGAAAACUUACUAUUCUUUUGCUGAAUUCAAUCCCAGCCACCACAAAAGGUGUAACUCCAGCUGCGCAUGCACAAAAAACAAAAAAGAAAAAGAAAAAAGAAAUUCAAAAUUCAAUAAUUCAGAAAGAAUUUACAGUAGUUAUAUAAUUUAAGAGUGAAAAUAUACCUAUGGCUCCAACAACAAUUUGCCAAGUGAUGGCAACCGGGGUUGGAUCCACUACAACCGGAACAUGAUGAAUUGCUGCAACCCUCCAAGCUUUUGUGCUUGGUUUUUUCAUAGCUAGCUGCUGGUUCUGGUUGCAUGGUUUUCUGGUAAAGCUUGCAUGUUUUGAGAUGUGAAGGCUUCUUCCUAAGAGAGUGUUGUUGGAGGAAGUUGGAGUUGCCAUUUGUGUGAAGGAAGAGACUGAGGCUUCCAUAUUUGGUCGUGUGAUGAGUUGAGAGAGAGAGAGAGAGAGGGUAUCGGCUGAAUUGAAAGUCACCACAGCUUCAUAUUGGGCCACGUUGCAUCUCCGCACUCACAUACUCAUUAGACAAUGUGGAUCACACAUAUAUAUUUGCGAAUGCUUGUGCCUUUUUCCCUCAUUUUUGCCCAAAAAAAGAUUCCCUCAAUGUCAUUUCAAUUUUGAUAAUUAUAAUCUUUUAGUUUUAUAAUUUUAGCAAUUAAGUCCCAAUUAAGGGUAAGCAUUCGUUUUUCUCCAUAACAUAUUUCACAGAUUUAUUACCGAGAUUUGUUUUGAGUAAAUUAAAGACUUCAAUUAUAUGAAAGUAACGAGUUGAGGACUUAUGGUGUUCCAUUAGAGAGGACAAGAUAUCCCACAGAUAUUCCCAUUACCACCCCAGAUGCAUACCCCAUCAACACUACCUUCUAAUCAAAACCAUUCCCAUGCUCCAAAUCAUCCUCUUGUUGGAAUGACGAUGGCGGUGAUUGAUGUGCAUUGCAUGUUUUAGAAAGUGGCAAUCCACAUAAUCCGGUAUUCCCACUAUAUGAAUCAUUUUCAAAUGUAUCAAAUUGCUUGCCAUGAGGUAUGGGCCCCCAUAAGUUGAUUUUUUGAAACAUUGAACUUUGAUAGUGACGUCAAAUUUGCCAGUUGCUCCGGAAUAUCACCAACAAGUUUGUUUGAAGACAGAUCUAACCAUUUAAGAUUGCACAUAUCGCCAAAUGAUGGUGGAAUUGUACCUGCAAGCUCAUUAUGAGAAAAUUUAAGCCCCUUCAAUGAUUUAAGCUUACUAAUUACACUUGAAAUCUCUCAUCUGAAAGUGUUGUUUGAGAAAUCAAUAAUUGUGAAGAACGUCAGGAUCUUCUCCAUUUCAAUUUCGAAGCCUUUAAUUGUCACUACCACAGUAUCCUGAUAGUAGCGCCCUCCCAUAUAUUUCAGUCCAUGUUCUUGCGAGUUUAUCAUGACUGUCAAAUGUUCAAAAUAUUUUAUUGGCAAGAGACCGCUAAACCGAUUGUAGGAUAAGUCCAUGAUACACAAUUUUUGGAAUGGAAAGUUAGUUUUCGGAAUGCCUAUUUCACCAUAGAAUUUGUUAGACCUCAAGAUAAGAACCGGCAACUUCGGAAGAGAUUCCAGCCAAUUUGGCAUAUUUCACAGAUUUAUUACCGAGAUUUGUUUUGAGUAAAUUAAAGACUUCAAUUAUAUGAAAGUAACGAGUUGAAGACUUAUGGUUCAUUUUUUUGAAGUUUGUUCAAUUUACUGUCAAAACAUGUCACCCACACAGUCACUUGUUGGGGAUUAAUUUUUGUAUUUUUUCUUUUUAAAACUUUUGAAUUGUUCAAAAAUGUCACAUGUUCUCUACAUAGUCUCUCUCUCUCUCUCUCUCUCUCAAAUAGAGUCUCUCCAACUCCAUCCAUUUAAUGCAAAUUUUUUUAUAUCAAAAAUUCCAAUAUGUAAUACUUGAGAAGUUGAUAUUUAUAACAAGCUUCGUUGUCCUUCAUUUAAAAUUUCCACUGUGGUAGGAUGGCAAGUACUUGAGCUUGUUUCCUGCAAAAUCAACAAGCAUCUUUUGACAUGGAGGGUGAAGCAUCUAUAUUGUCACAUGGGUGUAGGUCCCAGUGUUAGCUAGCUAGGAAAUUCUUGUAACUAGUUACCAUUUUUAGUAUGGCAAGUACAUGAUGAGUUUGUUUUAUGGAAAAUCAGCAAGCAAGGAAGCAUCUAUAUUGUCACAUGGGUGUAACUAGGAAAUUAUUGUAACUAGUUACUAGGCUUUGAUUUGAUAUUUGAUAUUUGGUCUUUGGUCUUUGGUCUUGGUAGGAAAUUAUAAUUUCUGUGUGUUCAAAUGGUUUUCACGUUUUGCCUCCAAUUCCUACUAGUCAAAACUUGUCUAAAUAUGAUUCACAUUCUGUGUGUGGACCAAAUAUGCAAAAAAUGUUUGGAUAAGGAGAAAAAAUUAAAUUUUGGAUUUUAUGCAUGCUAUUUAGUGAUUUAAUUCUUUUCAUUUCCUUGUAUUUUUUGGAAUGAGAACAUUUUUAGGAGUAUAUAACAUAGUUGAGCCAAAUUGCGUGUACUGAUUGAAUUGAUUUGUCAAUUGUGUUUGACAAAUUACAAGAUGCACGAGCAAUUAAUCUACUUUAACAAAAGUAGGAUCCUCUUUUUAAAUUCAUGCAUAUUUAUUGCGCUUUGACAUAAUACAAUAUUCAUAAAAAAAUGAUAUACAAUAUGAAAAUACAUAAACUUUUGGAACGGUUAAUUCUUCAAGCACGUCGUCAUGUGAUUUCAACAGUUCUAUGACGUUGCUUUCUUCCUACCAUUUUAACAAGCUAAUCUGGUGUUCCAUUAGAGAGGACAAGAUAUCCCACAGAUAUUCCCAUUACCACCCCAGAUGCAUACCCCAUCAACACUACCUUCCAAUCAAAACCAUUCCCAUGCUCCAAAUCAUCCUCUUGUUGGAAUGAUGAUGGCGGUGAUUGAUGUGCAUUGCAUGUUUUAGAAAGUGGCAAUCCACACAAUCCGGUAUUCCCACUAUAUGAAUCAUUUUCAAAUGUAUCAAAUUGCUUGCGAUGAGGUAUGGGCCCCACAAGUUGAUUUUUUGAAACAUUGAACUUUGAUAGUGAUGUCAAAUUUGCCAAUUGCUCCGGAAUAUCACCAACAAGUUUGUUUGAAGACAGAUCUAACCAUUCAAGAUUGCACAUAUUGCCAAAUGAUGGUGGAAUUGUACCUGUAAGCUCAUUAUGAGAAAAUUUAAGCCCCUUCAAUAAUUUAAGCUUACUGAUUGCAUUUGGAAUCUCUCCUCUGAAAGUGUUGUUUGAGAAAUCAAUAGUUGUGAAGAAAGUCAUGAUCUUCGCCAUUUCAAUUACAUUGCAUUUAAUUGCCAUUGCCAUAGUAUCCUGAUAGUAGCCCUCUCCCAUAUAUUUUUCAGUUCAUGUUCUUGUGAGUUUAUCAUAGCCGUCAAAUGUUCAAAAUAUUUUGUUGGCAAGAGACCGCUAAACCGAUUGUAGGAUAAGUCCAUGAUACACAAUUUUUGGAAUGAAAAGUUAGUUUUCGGAAUGCCUAUUUCACCAUAGAAUUUGUUAGACCUCAAGAUAAGAACCUGCAACUUCGAAAGAGAUUCUAGCCAAUUUGAGAAUGUGUCUUGAAUUUUGUUCUUUUCAAGGUCUAGAACUUCCAACUCUCUACAUGUGAGCAAAGUGUGCAGCAACGACCCUUCGAACUGAUUUCCAUUAAGAUUAAGAUUUCUCAAAAUGUUUCCCUUAGAAAAUGUCCAAGGAAUCACUCCAUGAAAUUUAUUAUUUUGCAGUCAAAGUGGUUCACCGACCACUACAUCGAUGAAAAAUCUCGCCAAAAUAUGCUCUUUGAUCAGUGAUUCACCGGCCACUACAUCCAGGAUCCCACCUAAAAACCAAUCAUCUGCUUGUUAUUGUUCCCUUUCUCUCUCUCUAAGACUAAAAGAGUGAGGAAAAGAAGCAGCUUUGGCAGCUAUUUUUGGGUAGAAACUAGACAUUUGUAGUGUGUGUGUGUGUAUAUGGACUUUACCGCUGUGGCCUUUACUGUAUGAUCUAUUAUUGUGAACUCAGUUUUGUUAUGCAGUUGCUUUGUUACUCAUUUGUCCGACGAUAAGAAUUUGUUUUGGAUUGUUGAGAUUUAUCAAAAUAGUAUGUUUAAUAUAAUUCUGAUAAUGUUUAUCAAAAUAUCUUAAUUAUAAAAAAUGAAGAAAAAAAUUGUUUUCAAGAAUUCCACCAAACAAGUUUUCAAAUUUUAAAUAUUCAAAAACAGUUUUCAAGUUGUAUACCAAACAACUUUUUGAAUCUUAAAAAAUGAAUUUGAGAACUCCUUGUUUUUUAAGAAAAAUAACAAUUUUUAAGUUCUCUACUUGGAUAGAAUACCAAACAAGCCCUUACUCACUCACUAUCUUCUUCAUAUUAAUAAAUUGACCACCAUGUUCUGUCAAUCUAUUUUCUUCAGGCCCGUUUGGUAUUUUAUCCAAGUAGGAAACUCAAAACCUUAGAUUAUUUUAAAAAACAAAGAGUUCUCAAAUUCAUUUUUUAAGAUUCAAAAACUCGUUUAGUAUGCAACUUGAAAACAGUUUUUAAAUUUUUAAAUUUAGAAACUUGUUCGGUUGAAUUCUUGAAAACAACUUCUUUUUUUUCUUUUUUUUUUAUAGCUAAGGUAUUGAUAAACAUUAUUGAAAUUAUACUAAACAUACUGAUUUUAAUAGUCCUGAUCUCUUAGACUACAGGGGUCCAAGAGAUUUGUGGUCACUUAUCGUUGAAUGUAAAUUCAACGGUUCACUCACUCUUGCACUCCUUUUAAGAAACUUUUUUGAACCAUUGAAUUAAUAUCCAAUAGUGGGUGACCACAAUCUCUUGGACCACAGAGAUCGGGACUGCUGAUUUUAAUACCAUACAUAAAUAAUGAUCGUCAAAUUCAAUUGAUCUUCAAGUCUUAAAUAAUACAUAUUAAAUUAAAAUAUUCUAUACUAAAUAAAUUCUAGACUAAUGAUAUUGCUCCGGCUAUUCAAUCUCUAGCAUCACUAAUUUCAUUAGCAUUGUCCUCACUCAUGCAAAUGGGUGUGUUCCCUGCUUGAUUUGCGCAAGAGCUUUCUUCAUCUACCACAUCAAGAUCAUGCAAAUUGUGCAAAAUUCCAUUAGGGCCCCAAUAAUGUCACUUCAGACACCAUCAUAUUUGUAUAUAACCAAAUUGCAAAAUUGGAAUGAGAAUAAAUCUUCACAAGUCUCCAACUAAAAUAGCAGAUAAAGAAUUCCAUGAUAUAGCUGAGAUACAAAAUUGCUACCACGCACAACACAAUCCAUGAAUAAAGAAUUCCAUGGUAAGGUAUGCACUGUAAUAUUUCCUUCUUAGACUCUGUCAAAUCUAACAGGCCUUCUUAGAACAUAAUCUACAUGGAACCCAAUUUGGGCAAGCUCAUGACAACUCUAUUCAAAGCUUGAUUUUUCAUAACAGUAGAACAACUUACUAUAACCUUCAAUAUGGUUCACUAGCCAUAUCCUUGACAAUACCAGGAAAAUCCAAACUAUGGCCACACAAAUAUAAAGAAACAAUAAAACUGGCUAUAUAUAACUUAGAGAGAGAGAGAGAGAGAGAGAGAGAGAGAGAGAGAGAGAGAGAGAGAGAUGUGGAUGAAGAGAGAGAUACCUCUGUAAUGCUCAACCAGUCCAAAACAAAACUCACAAAAUCCAUAACCAAAGGGCACCCUACGGCUAAACAUUGGCAUUUGAUACCUCUAUAAUGUGUCUAUGAAAUUGAUCAAAAUGAAAACUUGAGUGGAAAACUUCUUCUGUAACAAUUCCUACUAGUUUGAACAAAUGUCUAAGAAAAAACUUGUGUAUAAAAUACAUGAUUUUUACUGUCACAUACAUACUGAACAAGCUCUUAUCAAAACUUGUCAAGUUAAGUGAAACGAUCAAUCACAAUAAAUUGAGUUAAUUUUGACUGCAGAGCUCAUACUAACGGCAAGCUGAUGUGCAAAAUACUACAUAUUCAAGAAUUCUUUUUAAAUAGAAUAUAGAAGUUGAUUAACAUAUUAAGACUUCUUUUUUGGACCAAUACAUGAAAAAAAUUGCAGAGAAGCAUCAAAUGACCAAUUCAACAUAAGCAGGAUCUCAGAAAUUACAACCCAUAUGAAUAGCAUAACUGAGCAAAUAUCAUUCAGACUUCUGAGUGCUAGAGACUUCAAAUGAGAUAAUAAAAACAAAAAACAAAAACAACUGAAAAAAUUGAAACCAAUGAAUUCUAUAACCAGAAUAGGGAACACAAUGGACCCAUAAUGUCAAAAUCUAAAAGCAUUUCAUCACUUUCUAUGAAAAAAUAAUCAAUCAGGUUACACACAAGAAUUCAUAUAAAUAAAAUCAAAUUAGAUAUAAAUAAGCUAUAAAUCCAAUAAAAAAUAAACUCCAAUCUUCAGUUAUAAAGGACAAAAAGGGAACUAAAAAUUACCCGAUUGUAGAGAUCGGACAUUAGCAACUCCAGCUCACGACGAGCCAAUGGUGCGCGCCUGUUCGGUGGCGUGUGACGCCGAUAUUUCAACUGACAGAAUCGCAGAGACCAGAGGAGGCAGCGAGGGCGGUGCUCAGAUGCCCAGCCCUAAAAGUUACUGAUGAGAGAGAGGGACGAAGAGAGAGAUGGAGAGAGAGAGGGAGCAACAAAGCUUCAAGCUUCUGCUAUGGAGGCUUGAAGCUUGAGCUCAGAGCAAGCGUUGCUCGAGCGAUGAGACGAGUAGAAAAAAAAAUUCGAAAAAAACAGAAUUUUUUAUGUUUUCUAAUUUGUUGGUGUUUUUGAGUUUAUUUUGAGUUUGAGUUUUUAAUUUUAUAUGAUUAUAUUUGAAGGGAAAAAAAAAACCCAAAAUUCAAGUGUUAUAUCUCUGUUUAUUAAUUAAAUUAUUAAAGUUGAACCUUUCAUGCUCAUAUUUUUAGUUUCUUUAUUGAUAUUGCCUCUAUCUUGAUGUGGUGAUUGUUGAGAUUUUUAUUUUUUAUUUUUAAGAAAAUCUCGACGGAACGAGAAAAACUUUAUUGAUAAAAUGAAGAAUUACAACGCGAGGAACAAUAAGACUGACCCUGACACAAAAAAUCACAUAAUAAGGUGUUCUAAAUAAGAUCAUCAAACCAAAUAAAAAUAUCCACAUUAUGCAGACCGAAUCGAGCAAGUCACCAAUGUGCAACACCAUUUGCUUCCCAAUGAGUAAAUUGAAAAAGAGAUCCAGGAAUCUCAAAUAAAGUUGAGGAUUUUAUUGUUAUUAGUUGCUUUUAUUAUAAAAUUUAAAACUCUGGAAACCUUAAAAAGACAAAAAUAAAAAUAAAAAGAAGACAUUACUCUAAAAAGAUAUUUGGAUUAAUAUUUUCUUUAAAAAAAUCGAUGAUUAGUUUAUAAAAUAAAAUAAACAAACUACAAUUUUAGUGAUUAAUGUGUUCGUACAUGAGCACACUUUAGACUUUCACCUUGGGCCUUUGAGAGUUGAGAACCGGCCCUGCCUUUCAUAAUAAAAUUGAAUAUCCCUCAUGAAUUAAUAAAAAUCUUGUUUUAUUUUGUAAUUGUUAAUUAUGCUAUGUAAUUGCUAAUUUCUAAUGUUGGUGAUUGCUUAAUUUUAAGGCAUAAAAUAUAUUUUCAUUUUAAAUAAUUCCAAGCCAAUGAAAGAUGUCAUUUUUUUGUAAAACGACCUGUCGUUCUUUUCCCACCAGCUGCCGUCUCGUGGUGCUCUCAAGUUCUCAACCCACUCCAACCCCAAAAUUCUCAAGUCCAAUCGGAGGUCGCGCUAUGGCCAGCCUCUGUCUCCUUACGACCAAGAUGACGACGAAGAGGUUUCUCGUGCUAGUGAUGUUUCGGAUGACGAUUGGUUGCUCAAUGUGAGUUUCUGUUCUGGCUCUUGUGCUUGAGCUGCUCGACUUGGUGGUUGUCCUUUGGGAAAGUGUUUUUUCUUGCUUUUGAAAGCAGAUUUUUUUUUUUUAAUUUAAUUUAAUUUUUUAUAGUUAAAGUUCUACUUGGAUUUGAAGUACCUUUACUUUUGUGAAUGUAGUAGCAUUUGGUUUUUCAGUUUUUUAUUAAAAUUUUAACUUUAAUUUGAGGCAUGGAUAGUAACAAUGGUACAAUUAUGCUCACUGUGAGGUACCCAUGUUUUGAAAUACGGUAAUUUGUAGUUUUUCUUUGUGGAAUUCUUGAUUUGGUUGCUUAGGGGUUUGAGGUAAAUAUUUGUUUGUGGGUCUUUUUCAAUGUAAGAAGUGCAUGCCAGUUUCUUUCUGAUUUACAAAGCAACGUGCAAAGAAAGAUUAAGAGUUCAAGUUUUAUCCGUUUUCUUUUUGCAUUUCAUUAUUGAAAAUAUUGCAAAAUUGAUUCUUGGACUUGUGGUAAUUUAUUUUCAUGGAAAGAUUAGUUUGGUAUAAGUGUUUCUGUGACACAACUAUCUUCGGUUUCCUUUGUUUGAAACAUCAUCUGGCUUUUCUUGUGGGUUGCUUCUCCAGGAUGACUUUGCAGAAAUUUCAGAGUUUGAUGUUAAUAGAAAGAGGUCCAAAUCACACAAGGGAUUUGUGAAUGGUCAUUCGGAUGGCAGAAACAGUAAGCACACUCUAGAGAAAAGUAAUGCUGCAAACUACUACAAUAGUUCUAAUCAAACAAAUGGUGUCAGUUCCUUGGAUGUACCUCGUAAGGGAAAGGUAUCUUGUAGAGUGAUAUGACGAGCUGUCAAAUUCUGUCAUCAACUAUACUAUUUUUCCGGGAAGUGCUUAUUUAUUUUCUUUGAUGCAGCAGUCUACAAGGAAAGCUAUGGAGGAUAGAUUUCCUCGGCUAUCAGAAGAGGUUGAAUUGGAUGAGAAGUGGUUACCUCUUAUUGAUUACCUUAGCACAUUUGGGCUUAAGGAAUCACACUUUAUUCAAAUGUAUGAAAGGCAUAUGCCUUCUCUUCAAAUAAAUGUGUGCUCUGCAAAGGAAAGGUUGGAAUAUUUGUUGAGUGUUGGGGUCAAACAAAGAGAUGUAAGAAGAAUGCUUUUGAGGCAGCCACAAAUCCUCGAAUAUACAGUUGAGAACAAUUUGAAGUCCCAUGUUGCUUUCCUCAUGAGUUUGGGUAUUCCAAGUUCCAGAUUCGGGCAGAUUAUUGCUGCUGCUCCAUCCCUCUUCUCUUAUAGCAUUGAGAAUUCAUUGAAACCCACCGUGAGAUACUUAGUUGAGGAGGUCGGGAUUAAAGAAAAAGAUUUAGGUAAAGUUGUGCAGUUAAGCCCUCAAAUUCUAGUUCAGCGGAUUGAUAUAUCAUGGAAUACUCGUUUGAAUUUUCUUUCUGAGGAGAUAGGAGCACCCAGAGAUAGUAUUGUGAAGAUGGUUAAAAAACAUCCCCAGUUCCUCCACUUUAGCAUCGAUGAUGGUCUGCUCCCCAGGAUCAAUUUCCUUAGGAGUAUUGGGAUGUGUAAUGCUGACAUCUUGAAAGUCUUAACUAGUCUGACACAGGUCUGCUUACUUUCUUUUAUGCCCAUCAGAGUACUUUUACAUUGUUUCUAAUUGCUUGGGAUUUAUUUGUACUUGUGUCACAAGAAAUAGUUUUUCUUUCCAUAUGCAUGUAUGUUAGUAUGAGUUUCUACUUCUUUUACUGAAAUAUCAUGUUCUUAAGAAGAAGAAAAAUAGCUUUCUUGCUGCUUCCCACUUAACAAGUUAAUUUUCUGAAUCUUUGACCAUUUUAAAGUUCCCUUUUGUACAUUUCUGACAUGUAGCCUUGCAGGGACUAUCCCUAUCACUGGAGGAGAAUUUGAAACCCAGGUACAAGUACUUGGUCAAUGAACUUCGUAAUGAAGUGCAUUCCUUGACCAAAUAUCCUAUGUACCUAAGCUUGUCUUUAGACCAGAGAAUUCGCCCCCGACAUAGGAUAUAUAAGAUUUUUCCACCGAAGCUGUCCUACAGUGCCAGUCAAAAAGUUGUGAGAAAGAUCCAAAAACGUCAAUGAAUCUUUCCCCAAAUCCAAUAACCAUUUGGGAAUGUAGGCUUGGAUUCUGUUGUGGGAAAGGUAUAACAUAUCCAACUUUUGUGAGGCUCUGAGAAAGUAUGGGAACUCACUUAUGUUACAAGACGACAAAUCUAGACUCGAAAGUUGAGGCCAGGUGUUGUUACUCAAAUGGUUGAAGCUCAAGGAUAGAUGAUUAAAGGAAAGAUUAAGCUCACUAAGACUUUGGAGUUUGGAAAACUUUUCAAACUCCACAGUGCCACUCAAGUGGUUGGAUGAUAGAUCAAGCCCCGUAACCUUCUCAAGUUCAAAGAUUGAUCUUGGAAUCAGGCCAUCCAGCUUGUUAUCACUUAAAAAAAGGUAUUCCAAAGAACGAGAUUGGAACUCAAUGAUAUUACCACUGAGUUGGUUGCUUCCGAGGUCUAACCACUCCAAUGAUGGCAAACUAACUAACCAAGAUGGUAUUGUUCCGUUGAGUUGGUUCCCAUCUAAAAAGAGGGCGGUUAAGUGUCGUGGAAUAGGACCCACCAGUUGUUGUUUUGAAAAAUCAUAUAAAGAAGAGUUGCUAUCAACUUCUGGAAACUGACCGACAUAAUUGUUGAAACUAAGAUCCAACCAAGUGAGUGUCUCAAGAUUUAAGAAUGACCAUGGGAUUUGGCCACCAAAACUGUUAUACGAGAGGUCCCUUUUGUACAUUUCUGACAUGUAGCCUUUCAGGUACUAUCCCUAUCACUGGAGGAGAAUUUGAAACCCAAGUACAAGUACUUGGUCAAUGAACUUCAUAAUGAAGUGCAUUCCUUGACCAAAUAUCCUAUGUACCUAAGCUUGUCUAUAGACCAAAGAAUUCGCCCCCGACAUAGGUUCUUGCUUUCUCUGAAGAAAGCUCCUAAAAGGCCAUUUCCUUUAAGUUCACUGGUCCCCACUGAUGAAUGCUUCUGCCAGCAGUGGGCUGGAACUAGCUUAGAUAAAUAUAUAGAUUUCCGGCAGAGACUACUGCUCAAGGAGUUUGCCAAAAAAUAUGAAAGAAAGGGAUAGCAUCUUCUCCGAAAGGAUGCCCGAGGUUACUGACCCAAGUGUUUGAUGAACAGAGCAGCCUCCCUUUGCAACUUUGUCUGUGAAUGAAUUUCAAUGUAUGCCACUGUUAACAAUAAUUUCCAUGAAGUUCAGAGUUUCUGGUUAUCAUAAACCUGGAGUAAGCAAGUUUCCAGGUUGUUGACAGUUUCCCGUUGGGAUGGUUAGUUUGUUUCUCAUGUGGAGUAUAUAGGUGGUACCUCACUCCACUCCAAUGCUAUUAGUUGUUCAUACAGGAGCAGCUCCAGUUUUGUAUACAACGUUACAUUCUCAGGUCAAGGCAUCUAGAUGAGUAUUAUUUUCGAGGUUCUAACUGCUUGUGACAGAAAAGACAAUAGACGACAGUCUAUGCUUUAAGGUGAUUUAUUUUUUAAUUGAACAAGAAAGGGUGGUUUCCAGGAUAAUGAAUCUACCUUUUGAAUGGUCGCAUGUUUGAUUAUUUGUGCUGUAUUCCUUUGUGCUAGUAGACAAGUACAACGUAAUACAUCUCUUCCUUACUGCCAUUGGAUAGCCUAAUUACAUUGUUUGAUAUGAUUUUGUACUUUCUAAUGGUUAAUUAACUCAUUGCAGGUUAGUAGUGUAUUUGCAUCUUCUCAACUCUCAAGUGGACAAAGGAGAAGCUUUACUAACUGCGGUUGAUUUAAAACAGGAGGAUUCGUUCUUCUACUGUAUGCAUUGUAAGUCGGAUGAGUUUUUGCUACUUUUUCAUCCCGAAAAUAUACCCAGAGAAAAGCAAGAAAGCAGCCAAAAUUGCAUUGGAAUUUUACAGAGAAAAUUUGUCAACUCUGUAGUUUGGAGAUUCAACCCAACAAGUAAAGGUCAUCAUCAUAUUCGAUCAAAUUGGAUUUAAUUGGUUAAUUUGAGUGGAUUGGAUUGAGUUUUAAACACGAACUAGAUUGGAUUGAUGUCAAACAUAUAACUAUAGAAACUCAACUUUAACACACUAAUAUAUAUGUAACAAUAGUGUUGUAUGAAGAAAAUUACUUCUCUUAUUUCCACCAUAACGUGAUUAAUAAGCAGCUCGAGUUAGUAUUUAUCUCGUGAUGAUACAUCUAACUUAAUAAACAUGAUUAACAUUGAUGAGUAUUUCAUAACUAUCACGAUACAUCCGCGUAACCUAAUUGACUUGUGAUUGGUUUGUAGCUUAAGUUGUUAAGAGCAUUUAUCCUUGUAUUUGAUGUCCUAGAUUCGAUUCCUGCCUCCUCCAAUAUGUUUGUAUAAUAUAUAUUGUAAUUUUUAUUUUUUUUAAAUAUGGUUUGGCGCAUCAACGAUUGAAUUUAGACACCAACAAUAGACCCUUGAACCCAACAAGUGCAACGAUUUAGACAAUAUGACCACUUCCCUCUGGCAUUAAUCUGCAAGUUUAAACUAUGCUAGAUUCCGUUGACAAACAUUAUGACCAAUUCCCUCCUGAUGCUGGUCAACGGUGUGCCUAUGUUGCGAAACCACUUGCCUGUGGCAAGUCCUCCAAAAACAAGUGAUUGGCCAAGUUGAUCCAGUCUCUGGCUAGAAGCUUGCACGUUAUCCUUUCAGGGUCGGUUUGCUUCAAUACAAGAUUAUCAUGAAAACCCAAUCAUUUAUUUAUUUAAUAAUUGAAUUUGGUGGUGUCAAUUUUCAGAAAGUUGUUCAAGGAAUGAGACAGUGAAUGAGACAAACUUCGAUACUGCAUGCAGUUUGCGUUAGUAGCAUUUCUCUUAAAGCUAAGAGAAAUGCUAGUAACAUUCUUUCUAACUUUCUCUUUUGGACUUUUUUUUUUUUUUGCUUAACAUGUGUCAUUCUUCUUACACUUAAAAUAAUGUCAUUAAUACAAAGGACCCACUAGUGUAGUGGUUUGGAGUAUUUACUCCCUCAGGCAAGGUCCUGGGUUCGAGUCCUAGCAUCCGUGUUGUGUGUGUGAGUUUAAUAUGAUAUCGCCCCUUUCAAUAGGAAAGGACCUCAAAAAAAAAAAAUAAUAAUGUCAUUAAUAUAUUAUACAAGUUAACUUUGGUUUGCCAACUUUACUCUUAUUAAAUGUAUUCAAUUUAUUCAAAAAACUUUCACAACUUUCUUACCAUUAUUUUUUUUUAACGUCAAUUAUUUUUUUCAAAAAAAUAUCUAAUUUUUUCAAAAAAGAGGAAAUAUCUGUUUUUUUUUUUAAUAAUAAAAAUAUCUAAACCCUUUGUGUUUAAAAAUAAAAAUUUAAAAAAAAAAACUAGACAUUUCCUCUUAAAAGCAUAUAUUUUCUUUAAAAAAAUAAUUGACGUUAGAAAAAAAUUAAUAAGAUGGUAAGAAAGUUCAAAAAAAAAUUUGGAUAAAUUGAAUACAUUUAAUAAGGGUAAACUUGGAAAGCAAAAGUUAGCUUGUAUAAUAUAUUAAUGACAUUGUUUUAAGUGUAAGGAGAAUGACACAUGUCAAGCAAAGAAGAGAGAAGGUCCAAAGGAGAAGGUUAGAGAGAAGGUUGCUAGCAUUCCCCUAUAGCUAAUGGCUCCAACUAUAUUAGCCUAGUUAUGGAGGUCGGUUUGUCUUUCUGUACAAAUAAUACAUGUUUUGAGAAUUUUGAUAGUGUAGGCGUAGAGCCUUUUUCUUAUCCGGAUGUCGCAAUAUCCUUAAAAUAUAUUCUAUCUACACAAGUUCAAUAUAUAAAAAAAUUUAUAAAAACUUACAUUUUCUUCGAAGUGUUUAGAAAACUAAAUGGGGAGGUGAUAAUUGAUUCUUUUUCUCCGUAACAUAUUUCACGGAUUUAUUACUGAGAUUUGUUUUGAGUAAAUUAAAGACUUCAAUUAUAUGAAAGUAACAAGUUGAGGACUUAUGGUCAAUUUUUUUAAAGUUCGUCCAAUUUGCUAGCAAAACAUGUCACCCACACAAUUACUUGUUGUGGAUUAGUUUUUGUAUUUUUCCUUUUAAAACUUUUGAACUGUUCAAAAAUGUCACAUGUUCUUAUAAAAAGAAUAUACAUGAAAAAUUUUGAAUAGAAGUAUCACCAGCUGACGUGAUAAUACCGUACUAUUUAAUAAUUUUUACACAUUCUCUCUCUCCCCAUUCAUUUAAUGCAAAUGUUUAUAUAACAAAAAUUCCAAAAGGUAAUACUUGAGACGUUGAUAUUUAUAACAAGCUUAGCUGUCCUGCAUUUAAAAUUUCCACUGUGCUAGGAUGGCAAGUACUUGAGCUUGUUUCCAACAAAAUCAGCAAGCAUCUUUUGACAUCGAGGGUAAAGCAUCUAUAUUGUCACAUGGGUGUAGGUCCCAGUGUUAGCUAGCUAGGAAAUUAUUGUAACUAGUUACCAUUUUUUAGCAUGGCAAGUACGCAAUGAGUUUGUUUCUUGGAAAAUCAGCAAGCAAGCAAGCAGCUUUUGGAAAAUUUUGCAACCAAGGCUUUGAUUUGAUAUUUGGUCUAUGGUCUUGGUAGGUAUAAUUUCUGCGAUAUCAAAUGGUUUUCACGUUUUGCCUCCAAUUCCUACUAGUCAAAACUUGUUCAAAUAUCCAAAGGGCAUGUCACGUACAUUCCUCAAUCAGAAUUGAUUAAUUAAUUGUCAAUUGCAUGGUCAUAGUCAAUUUUUAAGUUGAUUUGUAUUGUACCCUCAGUUUUGUGGGCAAAUACUACUCAAUUAUCCAUGCUAUUUAGUGAUUUAAUUUUUUUCAUUUCCUCGUAUUUUUUGAAAUGAGAAGAAUUAUAGGAGUAUAUAACAUAGUUGAGCCAAAUUACGUGUAUUGAUUGAAUGGAUUUGUCAAUUGUGUUUGACAAAUUACAAGAUGCACGAGCAAUUAUUCUAUUUUAACAAAAGUAAAGAGGAUCCUCUUUUCAAACUCAUGCAUAUUUAUUGGCGCUUUGACAUAAUAAAAUAUUCAUAAAAAAUGAAAUACAAUAUGAAAAUACAUAAACUUUUGGAAUGGUUUCUUCAAGCACGUCGUUGUGUGAUUUUCACAGUUCUACGACAUUGCUUUCUUCCUACCACUUUAACAAGCCAAUCUGGUGUUCCAUUAGAGAGUACAAGAUAUCCCACAGAUAUUCCAAUUACCACCCUAGAUGCAUACCCCAUCAACACUAGCUUCCAAUCAAAACCAUUCUCAUGCUCCAAAUCAACCUCUUGUUGGAAUGACGAUGGCGGUGAUUGAUGUGGUGCACUGCAUGUUUUAGAAAGUGGCAAUCCACACAAUCCUGUAUUUCCACUAUAUGAAUCAUUUUCAAAUGUAUCAAAUUGCUUGCCAUGAGGUAUGGGCCCCACAAGUUGAUUUUUUGAAACAUUGAACUUCGAUAGUGACGUCAAAUUUGCCAGUUGCUCCGAAAUUUCACCAACAAGUUUGUUUGAAGACAGAUCUAACCAUUCAAGAUUGCGCAUUUCUCCAAAUGAUGGUGGAAUUGUACCUGUAAGCUCAUUAUGAGAAAAGUUAAGCCCCUUCAAUGAUUUAAGCUUACUAAUUACACUUGAAAUCUCUCCUCUGAAAGUGUUGUUUGAGAAAUCAAUAAUUGUGAAGAACGUCAGGAUCUUCUCCAUUUCAAUUUCGAAGCCUUUAAUUGUCACUACCACAGUAUCCUGAUAGUAACCCUCUCCCAUAUAUUUCAGUCCAUGUUCUUGCGAGUUUAUCACAGCCGUCAAGUGUUCAAAAUAUUUUGUUGGCAAGAGACCGCUAAACCGAUUGUUGGAGAGGUCUAUGAUAUGCAAUUUUUGGAAUGGAAACUUAGUUUUUGGAAUGCAUAUUUCACCAUAGAAUUUGUUAGACCUCAAGAUAAGAACCUGCAACUUCGGAAGAGAUUCUAGCCAAUUUGGGAAUGUGUCUUGAAUUUUGUUGUUUGCAAGGUCUAGAACUUCUAACUCUCUACAUGUGAGCAAAGUUGGCGGCAACGACCCUUCCAACUGAUUUUUAUUAAGAUCAAGAUUUCUCAAAACGUUUCCCUCAGAAAAUGUGUCUGGAAUCAUGCCAUAAAAUUUAUUAUUCCGUAGAUUCAAAACAGAGAGUCUCUGACUGAAAUUCCCUAUGCAUUGAUGAAUUUUGCCACUCAAUUUAUUAUUAGACAAAUCAAGGAUUUGAAGGCUACUCAGGCUGCAGAUCGUUGGAGGUAUCUCUCCAGUGAAUUGAUUGUUUGAUAUGAAAAAGUAAUAUGUGGAAGGUGAUGGAAUUGGAAGCUCUCCUUGGAGAGAAUUGUUGCGAAGGUCAAGAUACUGGAGAUUUUUCCACCGAAGCGGUCCUACAGUGCCAGUCAAAGAGUUGUGAGAAAGAUCCAAAUAACUCAAUGAAUCUUUCCACAAAUCCAAUAACCAUUUGGGAAUGUUGGCUUGGAUUCGGUUGUGGGAAAGGGAUAACGUGUCCAACUUUGGUGCGGCCCUUAGAAAGUAUGGGAACUCACUUAUGUUGCAAGACGACAAAUCUAGUAACUCAAGUUGAGGCAAGGUGUUGUUUCUCAAAUGGUUGAAGCUCAAGGAUAAAUGAUUAAAGGAAAGAUUAAGAAUUUGGAGUUUGGAAAACUUUUCAAACUCCACAGUGCCACUCAAGUUAUUGGAUGAUAGAUCAAGCCAUCUAAGGUUCUCAAGUUCAAAGAUUGAUCUUGGAAUCAGGCCAUCCAGCUUGUUAUCAUUUAAAAGAAGCCCUGACAAAGAACGAGAUUGGAACUCAAUGAUAUUACCGCUGAGUUGGUUACUUCUAAGGUUUAACCACUCCAAUGAUGGCAAACUACCUAACCAAGAUGGUAUUGUUCCGUUGAGUUGGUUCUCAUAUAAAUAGAGCUCGGUUAAGUGUCGAGGAAUAGGACCCACCAGUUGUUGUUUUGAAAAAUCAUAUAAAGAAGAGUUCGAUGUCGAGUUGCUAUACACUUCUGGAAACUGACCGACAUAGUUAUUGCCACCGAGAUUUAAGGAAACAAGGCUCUCAAGGUUUAAAAAGAACGACCAUGGGAUUUGGCCACCAAAACUGUUAGACGAGAGGUCCAACCGCAUGAUUUGUGUGAGGUUACCAAGAAAUGCAAGAUAUGAUCCUACAAAACUGCAAUUGCUGAGAGACAAAUCUCUCAAAGACUUGAAAUUUCUUGUCAGAUGAUGCCAAUCUACUGAGAUUCUUGUACGAGAGAGAUCCAGCAUCUCAAGGGGACUGCUCCAGUUAGACUCGGGGAAAUAACCUGUGAGGUUAUAGUUGUGGCCUAAAUCUAGGAGUCGAAGAUUUGGUCGUUGGAAAAUGCUUUCUGGGAAUUUUCCUUGCAAGUUGCACCAGGGAAGUUCAAGAAUUUCCAAAGAAGAAGACAGAUUUUUGAAAGAAUCAGGUAUAACUGAUGACAUAUCAACAGAGGCCAAAUUAAGCUCCCGAAGAUUGGUCAGGUUUUGAACAAUUCUGUUAAAGCUAAGAGUAUCAACAUGUGUCACAACAAGAUAUGAAGAUUGCGAGAGAUUGAGUGAAACCAAGGUGGAAAGGUGGGAAAUUUCGGAAGGUAUUGGGCCACUGAAAUUGGAGUAAGAGAGGUCAAGGUGAGUCAUACUUACAAAGCCACCAAAUUUGGACGAAAUUGGGGAACCUCUGAAAUCAUUAGAAGAGAGGUCUAGCCUCUUGAGAUGGCCGAGAGAGAAUAAGCUGCUAUUGGAAUGGAUAUUGCCUUGAAGCCCACUGAAAUGAAGGUUGAGACUGAUCACACGACUAGUCAUCUUUUCACAAGUGACUCCACUCCAUGUGCAACAAUCCUUGCCUUUCUGCCAAGAAAUUGUACUAUUAGAAUAAAGAGUUGUUCCAUUAUAUAAUUCACGUUUAGAAGAGGUAUCAAUAGAAAAGGAGUUUUUGAAUUGAAGCAAAGCGGAGCUGUCUUCAGGAUGGCAUAAAUGCCCUGAAGAAAGAGAAGAGGAAGAGUUAGCUGAUGAACAAGUAGAGUUGAAUUGACAAGUAGUAGAGAGCAGGAAGAGGAGGCAGAACCAUGACAACCAACCCAUCUUUCUUUAAAAAUCUAAAGUAUAUAGUUAUUGUGAGCAAUUCUAUACUGGAUAUGUUGAUAUUUAUAACAAGCUUAAUGAAUAGUAAUUUAUCAUCUUUAAAGAUAAUCAAGUAUCAUUGUGCCCAUUGUAACGAUUGGGUGUCCUCUUCACAUAGUAGGUCCCAAUUUGAAGUGCUGAUUUCAAGCGUUGAUUUGAUAUUUGGUCUUUGGUCUUUGGUCUUGGUAGGUAUAAUUUCUGCAUGUUCAAAUGGUUUUCACAUGUUACCUCCAACUUCUACUAGUCAAAAGUUGUCCAAAUAUGAUUCACAUUCUGUGUGUAGACCAAAUAUGAUUCACAUUUGCCCCUAAUUCUUCUCAUCUCUAUGCUUCUACUAACUUUGUCUCUGCCACUAAGCAUUUGCUAGGCCUUAGGCCUUUUGUCCGAAAAAGCAUUUGCAGCUUUGCCCCCUUCCUCACGCUCUCAUCUGACCCUUAAGCAUUUGAUAGGCCCUAGGCCUUUAGUCCAAUCUCUUUAUGAACUUUCAGAGCAAAUUCAUAAACAAAAAUUUCUUUUAUGAAAAUCCAUUAUCUUUCUCUAGGGCUAAAGAAAAGAAAGGAGUCAUCAACAUAAAAGUUAAAACAAUGCUUUAGAUAAAAUCUAAAUAAUAUAAUAAUUAAACCCUAUAUAAAGCUUGAAAUCAAAGGGUUUCGGGAAUGCUUGCUCUCUCUGGAUGUGGCUGAGAGAGAGAGAGAGAGAGAGAGAGAGAGAAGAUGGAGAUUAGUCCUUUAGUCCAAUCUGUGAAUGAACUUUCAGAGAAAAUUCAUAGACCAAAAGAAAAAAGGUACCAACUUUUCUUUGUAGGAAAUGAUGGAACAACUUUAACGUUAUCACUUGCACAUGAAAUGUUUAUCACUCUAGCGUGUGCAAGUACGUGAUGAGUUUGUUUCACGGAAAAUCAGCAAGCAAGCAAGCAGCUUUUGGAAAAUUUUGCAACCUGUUAUAAAACUAGAAUAAUCAGUUGAUGAGAAGUACCACUGUAAUAUUGGGAGUGGGAUUAUAUUUCUCUUUGUAGUGUUUACACUGACAGAAUUUCUCCUCAGAUAGACUCCACUCUUUCUCUUCUCUCUGACUCCCACUCUUUCUCUUUCUCUCUUCCGUUCUUUCUUUCCUCACUCUUUCUUAUCUUCUAUCUUCUCAUUUCUUUCACUUUGCAGGUUGCCUAUUUAUAUGCAGAUUGGUGCAACUCUCGUGAGUGUGCAGUAAGAAAAAGUUGCCGACAAACUCUACCCAAAGUCUCCAAAUGAAUAGUUAGUGGGCUCCACACAAAAAUUUUACAGCACAACCAAGACUUUGAUUUGAUAUUUGGUCUUUGGUCUUGGUAGUCAAAAGUUGUCUAAAUAUGAUUCACAUUUUGGGUGUAGACCAAAUAUGAUUCACAUUUGCCCUCUCCUUCACGCUGAUUCUUCUCAUCUCUCUGUGCUUCUGCUAACUUUGUCUCUGGCCCUAAGCAUUCGGCAGGCCUUAGGCCUUUUGUCCAAUCUAUGAAUCAACUUUCACAGCAAAUUGAUACAGGUAAAAAAAUAAAAAAUAAAAAGCAUUUGCAGCUUUGCAUUCUCAUUUAGGAUCACCUAUAGAACUAUAUAGAAAUUAUAGCUAGUACAUAUGUCAAUUGAAAAUGGUUUUGAGAUUAAUUAGAAGUGCAUGCUCUUCAUAUGUCUUUUGUUUGGCCUGGUUUCCUUCUCAGCCUCUGAUGUUUUCUUUGGCUUCUUCGUCGUUUUUUCGUACAAGUUUGGAUAAAGAGAAAAAAUUGUUUGGAUUUUGAAGAGGUAUCAAAACUUUCGUUGUUUGUUUUGUUGCUCUUUCUUUUCCUUUUGGGUUGGUUGAGCGUUCUUUUGUUUUUGGCUCAGCAAUUUUACUCACUCCCUAUCUUCUUCAUAUUAAUAAAUUGACCACCAUAUUCUGUCAAUCUACUUUCUGAGGGCCCGUUUGGUACUCAAAACCUUUGAUUAUUUUAAAAAACAAGGAGUUCUCAAAUCCAUUUUUUAAGAUUCAAAAACCUAUUUGAUAUGCAACUUGAAAACAGUUUUUUAAUUUUUAAAAUUUGGAAACUUGUUUGGUUGAAUUCUUGAAAGCAACUUUUUUUUUCUAAUAGCUUAGGUAUUGAUAAACAUUAUUGAAAUUAUACUAAACAUACUGAUUUUAAUACCAUACAUAAAUAAUGAUCGUCAAACUCAAUUGAUCUUCAAGUCGUAAAUAAUACAUAUUAAAUUAAAUUAUUCUAGACCAAAUAAAUUCUAAGAUAAGACUAAUGAUAUUGCUCCGGCUAUCUAAUCUCUAGCAUCACUAAUUUCAUUAGCAUUGUCCUCACUCAUGCAAAUGGGUGUGUUCCCUGCUUGAUUUGCGCAAGAGCUUUCUUCAUCUACCACAUCAAGAUCAUGCAAAUUGUGUAAAAUUCCAUUAGGGCCCCAAUAAUGUCACUUCAGACAACAUCAUAUUUGUAUAUAACCAAAUUGCAAAAUUGGAAUGAGAAUAAAUCUUCACAAGUCUCUAACUAAAAUAGCAGAUAAAGAAUUCCAUGAUAUAGCUGAGAUACAAAAUUGCUACCACGCACAACACAAUCCAUGAAUAAAGAAUUCCAUGAUAAGGUAUGCACUGUCAUAUUUCCUUCUUAGACUCUGUCAAAUCUAACAAGCCUUUUUAGAACAUAAUCUACAUGGAACCCAAUUUGGGCAAGCUCAUGACAACUCUAUUCAAAGCUUGAUUUUUCAUAACAGUAGAACAACUUACUAUUCAAUAUGGUUCACUAGCCAUAUGCUUGACAAUACCAGGAAAAUCCAAACUAUGGCCACACAAAUAUGAAGAAACAAUAAAACUGGCUAUAUAUAACUUAGAGAGAGAGAGAUACCUCUGUAAUGCUCAACCAGUCCAAAACCAAACUCACAAAAUUCCAUAACCAAAGGGCACCCUACGGCUAAACAUUGACAUUUGAUACCUCUAGAAUGUGUCUAUUAAAUUGAUCAAAAUGAAAACUUGAGUAGAAAACUUCUUCUGUAACAAUUCCUACUAGUUUGAACAAAUGUCUAAGAAAAAACUUGUGUACAAAAUACAUGAUAUUUACUGUCACAUACUGAACAAGCUCUUAUCAAAACUUGUCAAGUUAAGUGAAACGAUCAAUCACAAUAAAUUGAGUUAAUUUUGACUGCAGAGCUCAUACUAAUGGCAAGCUGAUGUGCAAAAGACUACAUAUUCAAGAAUUCUUUUUAAAUAGAAUAUAGAAGUUGAUUAACAUAUUAAGACUUCUUUUUUGGACCAAUACAUGAAAAAAAUUGCAGAGAAGCAUCAAAUGAACAAUUCAACAUAAGCAGGAUCUCAGAAAUUAUAAGUAACCCAUAUGAAUAGCAUCACUGAGCAAAUAUCAUUCAGACUUCUGAGUACUAGAGACUUCAAAUGAGAUAAUAAAAGCAAAAAACAAAAACAACUGAAAAAUUUCAAACCAAAGAAUUCUAUAACCAGAAUAGGAAACACAACGGACCCAUAAUGUCAAAAUCUAAAAGCAUUUCAUCACUUUUUAUGAAAAAAUAAUCAAUCAGGUUACACACAAGAAUUCAUAUAAAUAAAAUCAAAUUAGAUAUAAAUAAGCUAUAAAUCAAAUCUUCAGUAACAAGGACAAAAAGGGAACUAAAAAUUACCCGACUGUAGAGAUCGGAGAUGAGCAACUCCAGCUCACGACAAGCCAAUGGUGCGCGCCUGUUCGGUGGCGUGUGACGCCGAGACUUCAACUGACAGAAUCGCAGAGACGGGAGGAGGCGGCGAGGGCAGUGCUCAGAUGCCCAGCCCUAAAAGUAACUGAUGAGAGAGAGGGAUCUCUUUUUCAAUUUUAUAAUAAAAGCAACUAAUAACAUUUAAAGAAUAAAAUUGAGAUUUUUAUUGUUAUUAGUUGCUUUUAUUAUAAAAUUUAAAGAAUAAUAUGUUAUAAAUCUAGUAAGAAAUUGGAGAGAGGGAAUUGGGAAAUUGAAGGGAGAGAAUUGAGAUAUCAAAGUAGAGAAACUAAUCUCAUUGUGUUUCUGUUCUCUAAUCUGAUCUUUGUCUGUGUAUAUUACAAGUAGGGGGAUGCCUUACUUAUAGGCAAGCAUCUCCUAAAUGGAGGUGGGCUCCACUAUAAUUAUUUUACAACACUCCCCCUUGGAGACCACAAACGAUACAGAAUAUGUCUCGUUAAAAACCUUGCCAGUAAAAACCCAGUGGGACAAAAACUGGUCAAAGAGAAAAAGAGUACAUAAUCAUGUGUAACAUAAAAAUUCUAUGUACAUUGACGCGCGUGCGACACUGCCUCGUUAAAACCUUGCCAGGAAAAACCCAGUGGGAUAAAAACCUGGACGAAGGAAAAAGAGUACAGUGUUUGAAGAUCUUUAUUGAUAGCGCUCCCCCUGAUGCUUGGCAAAAAUAUCUUUAAGUCAUACUGUUGAUCAGCUUUCUGAAUAUCGUAGUUGACACUGAUUCUGUGAGUCAAUCUUGAGCGACACUGCCUCGUUAAAACCUUACCAGGAAAAACCCAGUGGGAUAAAAACCUGGAUGAAGGAAAAAGAGUACAGUGUAUGAAGGUCUUUAUUAAAACCAUGCUCCCUCUGAUGAAUAUCUCCCCCUGAAAAAUUUAGGACUAGCUUUUGUCCAGUAAGCGACCAUAAAAAUUUUCAUAGUAUACCCUAAACCCUUGAGCGACACUGCCUCGUUAAAACCUUACCAGGAAAAACCCAAUGGGAUAAAAACCUGGAUGAAGGAAAAAGAGUACAGUGUGGAGCUGAGCUCUAUCUGGUCUAGUAUACUUCCGAAAAAACAUUUAAGGACCAACGGAUAAGACUCUCUUAGUAUAAGCAAGAAUCUCGUUGGUAUAAUGCUCGAUCGAGACAAAUAUUUUAUGAAUUCUGCAGAAGCGUUAAUAUGUUGCAAUCACAUUAUAAUCAAUGUACUCAUUGAAGUAAUUUAUGCAUAUUAAUAUUGAGUACAAAUUUUGUGCUUCAAGCACAUGUCCUUUAGGGACUUGCUUUAUGCAAUGUCAAUCCUCUCAACGGAUUUUGUCUAAAAGGGAUUAAACUUUAUGACACAUUAUAUAACUUGAACCCAGCUAUUUAUACAUCUUUAGGGAAUCGCUUCUGGCGAUAUGCUCCGUGCAUUUAAUAACCCUUAAAGAUAAUAUGUUGGUCUCCGUAAUUGUGUAAUAAGGGGGAGGCACAAUUGAAUCUGUAAAUAUGGAGAAAACCCAACAUUCCUUGUUUCUGCUAGAAACAGUGUGUCAUACAAAGUAGGUAUAUUCCCUUUUAUUCCGAACACCCAAGUAUAAAUUCAGUAUUAACAAAUUUUGGGGUUCGUAUUGUGGGUUUGUUCUUUCACGUUCAUUCUCAUUUAUAAUGGAAUUACCUCGUUCCAUUUUGGCCAAUGAUAUUGUCGACAUUUAAUAAUUGAACGUGGUUCCAAUCAACACAGCCCUUUGAUGAUUUGAGUAGCUACUCCAAAACCAAAAAUUGUCAUUCAUCAAUUCAUAAUCUCACAAUUCUCAUGUGCAUGCGCAUGCAUCAAUUAUAAGCAUUCCUUUGCUUUUGGGUACCCAAACCACUUCAUGGGGCUUUUAUUAUGUGAGAAUGUGGAUUAUAACCUCCAAUGGAGCGUUAUUUUACAGUAGGGCGUGGAUAAUCUCUAUUUAGAGAGUUGAAACAUUUAGAACCCAUAUAUCUGUCAUGCUGCAGGCAUGCCACAGAUUAAUACAUACAUGUCAAUUAAUUUCUGGGACUUUAACCCAUAUAAUUUGCUACGCAUUAGGCGUGCAUAAUAUCAAUAUUGACAUGUCAAAGGAUUGUUCUUUCGGGACUUCAAUCCAUAUCAUUUGCUACGCAACAGGCGUGCACCCAUAUAUCUGUCAUGCUGCAGGUAUGCCACAGAUUAAUACAUACAUGUCAAUGAAAUUUCUGGGACUUUAACCCAUAUUAUGGGACUUUAACCCAUAUAAUUUGCUACGCAUUAGGCGUGCAUAAUAUCAAUAUUGACAUGUCAAAGGAUUGUCCUUUCGGGACUUCAAUCCAUAUCAUUUGCUACGCAAUAGGCGUGCAUCAUAUUGAUCACUGCUAUACCCAUAUUCUGUUCUUAUGGUACAUUAAUCUGUGCAGUGUAUUAUCAAUGUAUCCAACUUGCAAUCUGUAAAAUUUGCGUUAAUAAUUCAUGGAUACAUACAAGCCAUUCUUUUGGAACGGACUUAUCUUCCCAUUUGGUUACCUUUCAAGAUAAAAUAUCAAAUAAGUAUAUAAGCAUAAAAUAACACAAGUAUUGCUUACAUCCUUAGGUGGGAGAAACUUUUCUCAAGUAUCAUUCAAGCUUGUAUCAGCCCAGUAAAUGUAGCGCUUGAUGAUCUAGUUAUAUCCUGCAAUAGUAAAAUCACAACUCUUUUCUCUGUCAAAAACAAAUAAUCCUCAGAGAGGUACAGGAAGAGAAAAAAAAAUGCAAAAAGAGAAGGUAAGCAAUCAGGGAAGGAAGCUGGUGGAAGCAGACAAUAAGCUCUCAUAUCUCCUAGUCUAGAAGUUCUUCCGGAGAUUAGAGCAUAAUAUCGCCUUCACAGUUUCCUGAUGUAGCGGAAACGUGAUCAGGGAUAGUCUCGCUUCCUGAAUGGAUGAUCAGAGAUAGUCUUGCUUCUCGGGCAUAUUAAGUGCUCACUGAUAAGAAAAACAAGUAGAUAUCGCAUCACUAGGUAUGGAGAAAACUGGAUGUCUUCUGCAAAGAAUAUUUCGUUAGUAACACAUUUAUACACAAAUACAAUGAAUAGGUAGAACCAGUGAAUUUCAAAUUAACCAUAAGAAAAUUGCGAGAUUCUCGGGGUACUUUUGAAAAAGUAGCUCCGUGAAAUCCGUAAAGCAGGAUCGGCUUUUGAUGAAAAUAAAACUUUGAAAACGCCGAAAGUGCCGACAAACAUUUAAUGGAGGCCACGUGAAGUUUUGAAAUCUGGGAAAGAAAAAGAUAAUAUGGGGAUCUGAGAUAAUAUUGGGAUCCUGGAAACUGUAGCCAUAUUUCCUCCUAUAGAUAUGGCCUUUUGCAAAACUUGAUUGGAGCAACUGCGUUUCAACUUGCUCCUUUCCUGUUAUAAUAAUUGCGCACAUUCUUAAAAUUUGCACCUGUGAUUUUUACGUCUUUUCAAAAUGACGGUUUGGAACUUUGUGUCUUAUAGGUUCAAAUAACCACAUCGACUCUCCCAAAUUCCAUAUUUCAACGUAUGGGAGUCCGGAACUUUUGGCCUGGGCUAAACACAAACUCAGAAUUUAUUUGCCCUUUUCAAAAUGGACAUGAAAUAUGAAUUGAGUAAAAGCCACGCUAAUAUCUCAUAUUUGGGUUCAUGAGCUUCCGGCCCAGAUAUAACAAAAUAUGUGGGGAGCCUCAAUUCAUCAUUCUCUUAUGCCAAAGAGAUAUGUGGUGUACCACAAUUUGCAAUAAUACCUCAAGGGUUGUCCAUUUAAUUGUUGGAACUUCAGGUUCUCAACACUGUUAGAUUUUGAACUUCUGGCCAAAAUCACAUAUUCUCAUGGUAUGGACAUUUAAUCCCCUUAGAUUUUGAACUUCGGGCCAAAAUCAUAUAUUCUCAUGGUAUGGACAUUUUUGCAAUUUUCUGUACAUAUUUCUGGACUUCAAGCCCUUACAUAAUUGUCCAUAUUUUGAGGAACUUCUGGCAUCUCAUUUAAUUGCUCAUCCAUGAGUUUAAGGAACUGCAGGUUCCAGUACAUUUGCCAGUACAGUUAUCAUCCAUGUGUACGGCAUUAUGAACCAAUACGGUACUGUUACAUCAUUAAGGAACCCCAGGUCCUUAUUUACAUGUCAGGGAUCAAGGACCCUCAAGUCCGAUCACAUGUUUACAAAUAUAGUACCAGAGAGACUGCCAGCUCUCAUAUUAACAUCAUCAUCAAGGAUCUUCAAGUCCUGAUGUAAUUGUAUGAUGAGGAUCAAGGAACUUCUGGUCCUGAUCUAUAUACUGUAAAAAAACUCAUCAUACAGCACAUUUAGUCCAUAAAAUAAAUUGCUGGUAAAUAAAUUACUGGUAUGGACGAUAAACCCGCACCAUACAUUUAAAUAAAAGUAAAGGCGUGGACGAUAAACCCGCACCACCCUUUUAAAUAAAUGUAAAUGUGCGGUAAAUUAAAUUCAUAAAUUAAAUUGCUUGCUGUAUGGACGUUAAUCCCGCACCAUACUUUAAAUAAAAUUAAAUGUGCGGUAUAGUAAACGUGCUUGUAUGGGCACUAAUUCUGCUCCAUACAUUUAAAUAAAAGCAAAGGUGUGGACGAUAAACCCGCACCACCCUUUAAAUAAAUAUUGCCGUAUGGGUAAUAAACCUACACCAUACCAUAAAUAAAAUAGAUAAGCAAAGGCGUGGACGAUAAACCCGCACCACCCUUUAAAUAAAUAUUGCCGUAUGGGUAAUAAACCUACACCAUACCAUAAAUAAAAUAGAUAAGCAAAGGCGUGGACGAUAAACCCGCACCACCCUUUAAAUAAAUGUAAAUGUGCGGUAAAUUAAAUUCGUAAAGUAAACGUGCUUGUAUGGGCACUAAUUCUGCUCCAUACAUUUAAAUAAAAGCAAAGGCGUGGGCGAUAAAUCCGCACCACCCUUUUAAAUAAAUACUGUUGUAUGAGUAAUAAACCUACACCAUACAGUAAAUAAAAUAAAUGUGCGGUAAAGUAAAUUUCAUAAAGUAAAGUGUUAGUAUUAGUAACGGUCUCCCACUGAUAAUAUGUUUAGUAUUACCAAGGUUCCAUUUUUGUUAAUGGUUAGUAAAAGAAAAGCAGAUAAAUAUAAUAGGAAAUAAUAGAGAAGAUAAGGGAGCAGAAAUCUUAUUGCUUAUGCCCUUGCUGAGUGAUCC
This 86907-nucleotide long non-coding RNA is filed under the name Prunus persica (peach). Its description in RNAcentral is "long non-coding RNA (PPER_LNC004326)". The record is from RNAcentral. Lineage: Eukaryota; Viridiplantae; Streptophyta; Magnoliopsida; Rosales; Rosaceae.